RNAcentral lists this long non-coding RNA (59430 nucleotides) under Malus domestica (apple). Its description in RNAcentral is "long non-coding RNA (MDOM_LNC003590)". The record is from RNAcentral. Lineage: Eukaryota; Viridiplantae; Streptophyta; Magnoliopsida; Rosales; Rosaceae.
CCGGCCCGGACCGUUCAUUGCAUCUAUGAUCUACCCUCUAUUAUUACUCAUUUACCCUAACUAUCCCCUCACCCUCUCUCUAUCCCGUCUCCACUCUCCUCCCUCGAUCUCUCCUCCCUCUCGAUCUCUCUCGAUCUCUUCCCUCUCGAUCUCUCGAUUUCAUAGAAGAUGACUAACGCCAGAGACGAACCGGGUGGAAGCAACAGCGGUGGCGGUGGAGGCGGAUUUCAUAGAGAGCAAGCAAAGACCUAGAAUCCAAUUGGGAACUCGAUUAUUUGCUCUGAUGAAAUACCCACUGAAGAAGAAGGCCAUGUCGCUAUUAAUUUCACAGAAGUUGUUCCUUUUGCUUCGGACUACUAUUUUUCUUUUAAAUUUUUUUACUUUAGGAAUUGUUUGUGAUGAUUUUUGUUGGGUGUAGCUGCGUUGUAGCUACUUUAUCAAGGUUCGGUCCUCCAAAAAGGGGUUGGUGGCGUUUCUUUCCCCCCCAUUUUAAUUCUUUUUUUUUUUCGAUUUUAUUGUAAAUUUAUAUAAUUUGAAUAUUUUGCUUCGUGGCGUUGGUAUUUUUUCUAAAGUUUAUGAUAUUAUUUCUGUAAAGAUUUGUUCUUUGUGGAUAUGCACCCAGAUAUGUGCAUUUGUGUGUGUGAUUUUUUUCCUUGAGCGAUUUGAGGAUGUUGAGGAAGGCGAUGAGGUCCUAGAGCGAUUUGAGUCUAUGUGGGGGACGAGCGCAUUGAAUCGUUUGGAAAUGGCGGGGCAGCGGAUGAGGGUCUUGAUGUCGAAGACCGAGUCGAACAUCGGGAGGAAGAUCGAGAGGAUGAGCAAGUCCGGGAGGCGAUCAAAAUCGGAAAAAAAAAAAAAAGUAAAAGGACCCGUGGACCCGUCCCAAACCGACCCGUUUCAAAUGGGCCGGGUUAGGUCCGGUUCCAAUGAUCAAAUUUACAAUACCCGGCCCGGCCCGUCCCGUUUCCUAUUUAAGCAGGUCCGGUCCGGUCUCUCUAAAUUUGGGCCCGGCCCGGCCUGUGCCCACCCCUAGUUUUAACGAAACACUCUCUAUACUGUUCACUUUUAACGAAAAUGACAUUUUUAUUCUAAAAAAUCAUUCAUGAUACUAUUCACUUACAACAUCUUUUUGUCAUUUUGAUUAAAACUCAAAAUUAUUAAAUUUUUUUUAUUAGUUUCCCUAAAAAAAAAAAAAAACUCUUGAUUGAGUGGGUUUGAUUAUAAGAAUUACAUUUUCUUUUCUUUUCUUUUUUCCAUAAAAGAGACGACGACAAGCUAGCUAUCUUAUCUGACAAAUUUGACACAAUACUUGGCUACUAAAAAAUUAGUAGAAAUUCUUACUUAAAAAUUUUCAAAAUUAUUCGUUGUCAAUUUAUAGAAUUUCGUGUUUAUCAUCAUAACCGAUAAAUGACUCUAUAAAGAUCGUAUUUGUAAAAAAUCAAUUAACACUAAGAUUGUUUAGGCAUCAAACUGUUUUAAAAUAAAUAUACGGUAUUGGUAAAAGCAUUACGAACCGUCUAUGUACUUGCUAUAAUAGAUUGACUAAACGUCCUUAGUUUUAAUUUAUUUUUUGCAGAUAUAAUCUUUACAGUGUGAUUUAUAGUGUGAACGGUUCUGAUUAUAAACACAAAACUCUGUGAUUAAAACACUAAAAAUUUUGAGUAUUAGUUCCUACUCAUUUUUUAGUAGCCAAGUAUUGUUCUCAAAAUUUUACGUGGCAUUUUUUGUCACCUAUCUCAAAGUUUGACGCCUGUUAUUAACUCUACUUUUAAACACUGUUAAUUCUUUGAAAAAAAUUAAAAAAGAAAAAACAUGAAAAGUUAAACCUAGAAGCCCAACCGUUCCUGCCACUCCCACUCCCACUCAGUGUCGACCACCACCAUGGCAUCCCACAAAGCUUCCUCUUCUUCUCCUCACUGAGAAUCUCGUCGUCUCUUUCCAGAUCCCCGAUACUACCAUACCCACUUUACAGUGGCCCGCCAUAUCCGGGUCCAGAUCCUUAACCCCCAACACUUCACCAACGAGCUCGACAAAGGCAAUGACGAUUCUCCAAUUUCAACACCCAGUGGACCACCAUGGCGAUGGUCUGGGUUCUUCACAUUACAUAUAUAUUUUUUUUAUUCUUAGUGUUUUUAAGUGAGUUAAAGAGCGUUUAAGUGUAGAGUUAGCAGUUGACAAGUCACAAAGAGUUUUGGAUGCAAAAGAUUUGAAGUCGCACUAGCAUUAAGAUUAAAUAAAAAAUUAACCACACAAUAUAUGAUAAUUGAUUAGGAUGUAAAGAUUCUUAACAUACUCUCAAUUUGAAUUCGAACAGGAUCCAAAUCCGUCUAGAAUUAGGAUUAGGGGUGGUCAAUAUUAAUUGUUUUCUAAGUUAGAAAUUCCUUUUAUAAAAAGAACUUGCACACAUCACACGUGUGAGCGUAUUUUAUGUCACAAUUCAAUACACAACUCAUGGCACACGCAGCAACCAAAAAGAAAAAACAUCUCACCAUCUUCCAUUCCCACUAAGUCACUAUUCCAAUCAUUUUACUUUUUAUCUUACACCAAAAGGUAUUUGUUUGACCAAAUCAUGUAUACAUAACAUCUUAGGAAGGCUGCAAACAAAAAGAAAAAUCGAAUAUUUAUCCAAAAAGAGUAUGAAACGUUCCAAAAUAUUCCGGUUUUUUAUAUUUAUUUACCAAAAUUAUGUUUUGCAAUCAAGUUUUGUAUUUUAUUGUUAAUUUUGAAUGCACUUUGUUUAUUGUUUUUAUGUUAAUCAUACACUUAUAUAUUAAAAAUAAAAAGCAUAUAUCACAAAAUAAACUGGAUUUAUAUAUAAGCAUAAAUUUGGUCAAACAAUAAACUGGAUUUAAAUAUUGAGAAAUAACAAUAAAUUUGUAAGUACGAAAAAGUUCAAGAAUAUUAAAAAAACUUGUAAAAGAAAUGAAUUUCUAAAUCAUGUUUCCAAAUUUAUGAGAUUACUCUGAAUUCAAAUAUUCUAAAACUUUCGAAUUUAAAAAUUGUGAUCCGAUCUGACUUAAUUCUACAAUUUAAAAAAAAUGAAAACGUUUUGUUUCCAAUUCAUUCAUCUGACAAUCAACCCCAACUGAUUGAAUCCAAUCAAACUGCCCAAUAACACAGUCAAUUAACUUUCCAGAGGGAGGCCGAAAUACCUCUUCGAGUCUUCUCGACCUCAGAAUGAUAGAUUGCUACGACGAAGCCACCAACUGGUCCACUUUAAAAAAAUUAAAUAAAAUCAUCUUUCUAGGGCUUGGAGCUCAACUCAUCUAUGCGAACUCUCUAUUUUUAAAAUUCAAACGUAAGAUCACUCACUUACAAAUGAAGAAGAAUAUCACUAGACUGUUUUACUAAGUAGCUUUUCAAAUGCAUUACAUACUCUAAUGUUCAUUUAUUUACCAUAAAUGUAUUGUGUUUGCGUUGUAUGAAAUAAUGCUAAACUUAAACCCAAUUUGUUAACCACCAAUACCUAUAAUUUAUCGUGCAAAAUCUUAUCGUUUUAUUGCGUUGUAUAUUACUAUCACAUCAACUUCUGACUUAGAUGCAUUCAAUCCACGAAAAUCGAAAUUCACUUUGAAAUUUGAAGAUUAAUUUGGUACAUGAAAUAAUUUACCAAACAAAGAUUCAGUAAAAAGUGACUACAAAUACAACCAAUGGGUAAAUAAUGUAUGAGAACCAGUACAUCCUAAAAUACAUCUUGUAUACGGUCAGAGGGAAGAAACCACUAAAUCGUAGUACUAAAUGAUAUGUAUUUGUUAAAAUCCACAAAAAAUUCACUUUUCUCGUUCAAUUCUUCCAUUUUUUUUCUUCCUACCUGCUACCACUAUUUAUUUUCAUUUCCAAAUUUUCAUGAUGUCAAACCAUCGUAUUAGAAAACCUAAUUGGUCAAUGAUGAAGAUAAAAAGGAGUUCUGGUGAACGUCGUUGACAAGAAUGGGUUGGUUGUGUUAUUUUUCAUAAUUUAUCGGAAUUUGAAUUUGGAGGUUAAAUGUUCAUAAGUUGAGAAAUUAUUACCUCAAAAUGAGUUAGGUGCCACGCACAUGAAACUAAAUUAAAGGGCAAUAUGAAAAACUAAAUGAGAAAAUUGUAGCAAUAGUCUUUCAACUUUAACCUUAAUAGGAGAAAUGAUCCCUUAACUUUAGCCCAAUUGAAACAAUAGUUCCUCAAUUUUAACUCAAUUUUAGUAAUGUUCUUCUAACAUGGCUCAUUUUGACAGAAGUUAUGACGGAGUUGACGAAAAGAACCAUAGUUGUACUUUUUGGUGUGUUAAAGGACAAAUGGUAAUAUAUUUUUAAUUGAGGGAGCAUCGCUUCAAUUGGAUUAAAGUUGCGGUACCAUUAUAACUUAAAUGAGAUAAACCACACACAGUAAAAGCAAUUUACAUUGUAACAGCAUCGUCGUCAUCCUGUCCAUGUUGAGAUUUUGUUUGAACUGUUUAAAUUUGAGAUGCAGAUACCCUCCUUGGCAAAAGUCUCCUUGAAUUGCAGAUUUGCGAUGGCACAAAAUAAUAAGUAGGUGAUUAACUAACUUGUAGCUAAUCGUGCUGAUAUGACAGUAAGUACCAGAAAGAAAAAACACGAUGAACCAACUCGGGAGUCGAGCACAAGUUCACAAACACAACAAACUCGCAAUCUAAAUCCCAUUGCAGCUGAGCAAUAUAUAACGUCAAGGAAUUAUCCGAAGAUCGCUUAACCGUAGCAAGAGCACUCUCAGGGAGCAAUCUCAUUCUUUUUUUCUGUCCAGGAGUCCAUUUCUAUCUCUUUCUCUUGUAUUACUUCCAGCUAGAACUGAAUGCGGAAAAUAUGGGAAAGCAUCUCGUGAUGUAUUUAACCAAAAAAGUUGUGAUGCUUCCACAUUCUCAAGUGAUUUAGACCCUUUUGUACGCACAUCUAAUUCCCAUUCCGUUUGAAGAUCGAAGCUAUAUGAAGCAAAUGGCAAUGGCUUCGUUUCCUCUGAAUGAAUGAGCUUAAUUAAAAACUGAAUAACAAAUGGCAUAGGCUUCCUUAAUUAAUUAGGUCCAAACUUGUAACAAAGAAAGGAAUAACAUCCCUAACUAAAAGAUUAUACGUAAAAAUUAAAAACUGAAUAAGCUUAAUUUCAGUAAAUGAAUCCAUAAUACUCAUCAUCCAUAUAUUAUAAUCUAGGGGAUACCCAAAUACAUAAUAUACCAAAUAGUUUUCAAAUUCGGAGCAGAACAGGAAAUUAUGUCAAGAGAUGAUGAAUGCGAACGGAACAUAGAGCAUCAACCCAAUGACAAUGCCAAGUUGCCAACGGAGUCCACGAUGAGCAAGUGAGCAAAUCAGUCCACAACAGCAAGAGCUUGAAACUGUUUGUCCGAGAAGGCUGCUUCCAUGACAUGGUGCGGGCCAAUAUCCCCACCAUUCUCCAAGAAGGACCUGACCAAAUUAUUAGACCAGCCACCCAAUAGCGUCACCCCUGGACGAGGCAAAGCGAUCGAAGGAAAUUCCCAGCACCAAAUAUCCCAAAUCAGAAUGUGAGGCACCGCAUCAUCCCAUACCCUUUGUCCUUAAACAUGGUCCUUAAUGGCCUCGUACUGAGUCUCCCAGGCUGCGCUAUCAAAAAAAAUCAGAGCCCAUGUUGUAGUUGAAGAUAAAGAGCUUCUGGAUCAUCUGAUCUGGCUUCAAAAUUCUCAUUGACAGUCACUUGGAGAAUCAAAUCAAAUACCUUUCGCAAAUGAACUACCAGGCGGCCGUCCAUUCCCAUCGUUGCAGGGUACUGAAUACAGAUGAGGAAGACGAAAUAACAGAGCGUGGUCGUCCCCGGCAGCAGCCGGAAGAGGAGCGGAACUGAUCAGCUUUCCUUUCCAGGCCGGCUCUUCAUUCAGUUCACUCACAAAAAGUCCCAAACUCGCCGUCAAUUCCCUAGCCCCGCCCAUAAUUCUGUUCAUGUUACAUACAGCGAAGCAGUUUCUGAAUUUGCCACCCUCCUUGUGCUUGCGCAGCAAUGCAUUCCACUGAAGCUCAGCCGCCUCCCCAACAUUCGCAUCUUUCAAAUAUCGUAUGAUAAAAUGUGGAAGCAAAGCAUCGGGCUCUAUGACGAAACUUAAAUUGCCUUUGCUUGCUGUUGUUGCUGAGGCUUUCACCUGCUCCAAAUAUUUAAUAUCCACACCCCACCGUCUCGGGUUGAACCUGCCCUGACGCUUAUUGUACUUCUGCAAGGGCGCCAAGAACUCCUUCCUCAGCCGCUCCCACUGAUCAUCCUCCUUUGAUGAUUGGUCUGGUUGUUGCGAUUGCGACACCAAAGAGAAGAGCCGCCUGGCAGUGCUUUCGCUAAGCGCAAUGGCGCGGAUGGCAUGGGCGUCUGUAAAAAUAUAUUUGAUUAUUUUGACUUAAAUUGAAAAGGAUACAAAAGGCCUUUUUAUACAGACUCAUUCUCUUGGAAGAGAAUUAACCUAGCCUACAAUUUAGCUAUACAAAAAAGGAAGAUUUUGUACAAAUCAAUUACAGACUUUGUUUCCUAUUCUAAGCUAAGAUAUCAGGGAUCUUGAUAUCAUUGACUUCUCAACACUCCCCCUCAAGUUGGAGAGUGAACGCCGAGAACUCCCAACUUGCGUAUGAUGGAUAAGAAAGCCUCCUUUCCUAAUGCCUUUGUGAAAACAUCUGCAAGCUGGUUUGAAGAGGGAAUGUAUCUUGUGACAACCGAACCAUCUUGUAUCUUGUCUCGAAUAAAAUGACAAUCAAUCUCUAUAUGUCUAGUUCGUUCAUGAAAAACUGGAUUAGCAGCUAUAUGGAGCGCCGCUUUGUUGUCACAAUGUAGCAAGGCCGGUUUUGGGUGAAGCAAACCUAGAUCCUUCAGAAGAUAUUGAAGCCAUGACAGUUCACAACAAGUUCCAGUCAUGGCUCUAUAUUCGGCCUCUGCUGAUGAUAAAGAAACGGUCUUUUGUCUCUUUGACCUCCAAGAGAUCAACGAAGAACCCAAAAAGACGCAAUAACCUGUAGUUGACCUUCGUGUCGUAGGACAUCCUGCCCAGUUUGAAUCACAAUAUGCACUUAAGUUUAAGUUGUUUUGAGAAGAGAAAAAACAAACCCUAUCCAGGCGUACUCUUCAAGUAUUUCAGGAUUCGGAGAGCUGCUUCCAUGUGCGGUUGUCGUGGUUCAUGCAUGAAUCGGCUCAACACAUGCACGGGAUAAGUGAUGUCUGGCCUUGUAAUAGUUAAAUAGAUCAAUCGACCAACCAACCUUCUAUACUUUGCCGGAUCUUUAAGCAACUCACCAGUGUUAGAAAGUUUAACAUUCUGCUCCAUAGGAAACUCCACUGGGCGAGCUCCCAAAAGACCACUAUCUUUCAAAAUUUCUAAAGCGUAUUUUCGCUGAGAAAUAAAGAUCCCUUUCUUUGACUGAGAAACCUCUAUUCCCAUAAAGUACUUCAAGUUACCAAGGUCCUUGAUUUUGAAGUGACCAUGAAGAAAUCUUUUAAGAGCAUUAAUUCCUUCAUGAUCAUUGCCAGUGAUCAAAAUAUCGUCAACAUAGAUCAGGAGGGCUAUAAAGGAUUGCCCUUGCUGCCUCGUAAACAAAGAAUAAUCUGCCUUUGAUUGGAUAUAACCAGCGGAUUUAAUUGCUUCUGAAAACUUUGCAAACCAUUGCCGGGACGCUUGUUUCAAGCCGUAGAGGGAUUUAUUAAGGCGACACACGAUAUUCUCCCCCCCUGUCGCCGAAGACCAGGAGGAAGGGUCAUAUAGAUUUCUUCAUGAAGAUCACCAUGAAGAAAGGCGUUGUGGACAUCAAGUUGGUGGAGAGACCAGUUGCGGGCAGCAGCGAGGGCUAACAAACAACGAACAGUGACCAUCUUAGCAGUAGGGGGAGAAGGUAUCGUGAUAAUCAACACCUUCAAGUUGAGUGUAACCCUUGGCUACAAGGCGAGCCUUAUAACGUUCAAUAGAACCAUCAGAACGAUGUUUGAUCUUAUAAACCCAACGACAACCAAUGGGAGUUUUGCCGACAGGGAGAGGAGUGAGUGUCCAAGUAUUAGUGGCCUCCAAAGCACGGAGUUCAGAGUCCAUGGCAGCAUGCCAAUGGGAAUGAAGAGCAGCCUGAGCAUAAGUGUGAGGUUCGACCUGCCGACUGAUAGAAGCAAGGAAAGAUUUUUGUUGAGGUGAGAAACGAUGAUAAGUGAGAAAAUUAGCAAGAGGAUACCUUGUACCGGUGGUAGGACCUGUCGACGAAGAUGAUGAAUCGAUUGGUUGGGUAGAAGGCAAAGUAGGGCAAACAUAAUCACUGAAGCGAGCGGGAGGAGCUGAGCGACGGUCAGAGUGGCGAAGCACGGGUGCAGAGGGCACGGAAGGUGCUGGAGGCACGGGCGCUGGGAGCGCUGAUAUGGCAGGAUCAGGUACAGAGGGAGAUGUAGCAUCAGACGCGGGAGGAAAAGACUCAACAGGUGACACGGUGACACGGGAGAAACAAUGGGUGCGGAAUGAUCAGUGUAGUCAAGAAGGGGUUGAGGUAAGACAGGUCCUGGUUGGUCAUCGGAUGGGGAUUGAUGUUGGUAAGGGAAAAUAUNNNNNNNNNNNNNNNNNNNNNNNNNNNNNNNNNNNNNNNNNNNNNNNNNNNNNNNNNNNNNNNNNNNNNNNNNNNNNNNNNNNNNNNNNNNNNNNNNNNNNNNNNNNNNNNNNNNNNNNNNNNNNNNNNNNNNNNNNNNNNNNNNNNNNNNNNNNNNNNNNNNNNNNNNNNNNNNNNNNNNNNNNNNNNNNNNNNNNNNNNNNNNNNNNNNNNNNNNNNNNNNNNNNNNNNNNNNNNNNNNNNNNNNNNNNNNNNNNNNNNNNNNNNNNNNNNNNNNNNNNNNNNNNNNNNNNNNNNNNNNNNNNNNNNNNNNNNNNNNNNNNNNNNNNNNNNNNNNNNNNNNNNNNNNNNNNNNNNNNNNNNNNNNNNNNNNNNNNNNNNNNNNNNNNNNNNNNNNNNNNNNNNNNNNNNNNNNNNNNNNNNNNNNNNNNNNNNNNNNNNNNNNNNNNNNNNNNNNNNNNNNNNNNNNNNNNNNNNNNNNNNNNNNNNNNNNNNNNNNNUUUUUGGUAUUGACAUUUAGGUACAUACAUUUUCAGUAUUAACAUUUAGGUACAUUAAUUCAAUAUAAUAUACAUUUCGGUACAUACAUUUAGGUUCAUUAUAAUAUAUUUCGGUACAAUCAUGUCGGUACAAAUAUUUCAGUACAAAAAAAGUCAAUUUUAUAUAUUUUGGCAUAAUCAUUUCUCUGUACACUUAUGUAUUUAUAUAUUUUUUGUAUCACAAAUUUCUUUUAAUAUUUUCUCAUUUACAUUCAUUUCUAAUUAAAAAAACUAAAUAUGAGCAUAUUAAUAAAAUUAAAAUUUAAUAUGGAGAGAUUAAAUAAAAAUAAACAUUAAAUAACAAAAAUUGAAUGUAAAUUUUGAUAAAAGUACAUUCAAGGGAUUAAAUUGAAUAUUUAAUCUAGCACUAGGUUUUUUUUAAAUUUUAAUCUUUUGCAAGGACUAAUGUUCAAAAACCCCAAAUUUAUAUGAUGUUGAGUAAAUCAAAGCUUUUGCAUAAAAAUUUAAAUGAUGUUGAGUUUCUAUGCUAACUACCAAUUGGUUUUUAAAUUGAAUUGAAAAAUUCAGAUGAACAUAUAUUUCUUUUGCAUGAAUAAUGUGGUUUUCUAAAAUAAAAGUCCACCCGAAAUAAAGCAUGCCAGUGUAAGAAAGGGAACCCUUUUCUCAUCAAAGCUGCAUUUGUUAUAGAAAAGUUCUGAGAAAAUUGGUAAUUGAAAAAGCAAGACUUGAAGCUUCAACACAAGCAAUGAUGGAGAGUCCAGCAGUCCCAACACAUUAGAAUAUAGUAGACUUUUGUAGUUAGUCAAAUGGCUGACAAACAAAGCGAUUACUGACUUCCUUUUGAAAUGAAGGUCAUCAUCAUCCACCAAACCCUUUGGGGUGAUCAUGCAACGUCAAUGGAACAUCUACCUGUUUUCUAUACUAUAUAUGAUCUACUUUUCUUUUUUUCAUAUUCCGAGUUUCUAGUUCAACAAAUUCAUCCGUUGAAAUUCUGUUUAGCUUAACUUAUUACUCGUAUAACAAUAAGGCAUAUAGUCUAAUGAUACUAAUUCUCUCAAACCAUCUCUGGAUAGAGGUAAGACCUAUUUGUAUUGUGAACCAUACAUUUAUUAGAGACAUAAUUAAGAUGCGAUAUACAAUGUGAUCUUUCUCUAGCAUUAUUCGAAAACUAUUUACAUAUCCUAUAGUUUGUCCGUUACGACCACGCUCACUACAAGUUUACCUCAUUUCAACCCGUGACAACAAAAAAUCAGUUCAGUCAGUGAAUCAGUGGAGCCCUAACCCUCUUUCGUCUGUGUCGCAGGUUGGGUGGUUGAGGGAAGGGAAAGGAAAGGGAAAGGGGAGUGAGCGCGAUCAAACGAGAUGAAGAGGGAGAGAUCGACGACGAAGGGAGAGUUCGAAAGGAGAGAAGCUAGAGAGUGGGAGCGGCAAAAGGAGAAGAGUGAACGCGUUAGGUAUAAGAGAAAGAGACCGGAGUAGGAUUGUCUGUAUGAAAGUUUCAUUAACCAGUAUAGUUCAUCCGCUUCAUGUGAAAAAAAACUAUAGUUUCAGAAGUACGGGUAGAGCUGCUUCUGCAUAUGCUGUUUUGGACCCAUGAUUUGGAAAGAAUAAAAAAACACUUUUUUUUAUUUACCAAACACAAGUUUAGCUCAAACUUUUUUCAAAAAAAAAUUUGUUUUUUAAAAAAUUUCAACAAUAUCAAAUCAGCUCUAAGUAUAAUGAACAAGUUGUACGUUGUGUAAUAUAAAUCGGUUGUUAUAUAAUACUUUAAUUAAAUUCGCAUAUGUAGUUUAUUCAGGCAUUUAGAUAUAGAUGCCUUAGCAUUCUAUUUCUUUUUAUAAACAUUUAGUGUGCUAUAGGUUUUAGAUUAAACCACCUCUAAAAUGGAGCCAUAUGGUAUAGUUUAUAAAAGCUACAAGAAAUGGGUAUCCUACAUGAAAAGUACGCAGUAUUAUUGGGCAACUUUGCUAAGAGAUUUUUUGAAAACUUUGGUACUUAAAUUUUGUGUAUUAUUGAAAAUAUAUGUAAACAACGUGUACUAAAUGUAAAACGUAUGCGUGUACAUAUAUCAUGGAGUUUUAAAAAACAUCAUAUUAUAUAAGCAAAUUGUUAUUGAUAUUCUAAAAAUCUAAUUGUGUACUCCAAACUUUUUAUAUUUGGAAAGCAAAAUAAUCUUAUGAAGAAUGUACAAUUAGAUUUUUUGAAGUAUUAAUAAUAAUUCUCUUACACUAUGUUUGGAUGAGGGAAAUAAACUUGAAAUUUGGAUUAAAGUCGGAAUUUAUAAAUUGACAUGCACAAAUUCUCUUGUUUGGAUUCAUAAAUAUAAAAAUUUAGAAUUUCCGCGUGGAAAAUAAAUUUGGAAUUUGGGAUCACCAAUUUCCAAGUUUAAAUUCUAUGUAAAUACGUGUCAUUUUUUCAAUUUCUAUAAUUGAAAGUUUAAAAAUAACAAAUUUUUUGUAUUCAAUUACAUUGGUCUUUUAGAUUAACCAAACAAGAAAAUUCACAAAUUCUAGGAAAUAAAAUCCCGACAUUUCAAUUUCUGUCAUUUUAAAAUUCUUUAAUAAUUUUAAAUUUCUUCAUCCAAACAUAGUGUUAUUGAACAAAUGAAUAAACUACAUAGAAAAAUCUAAUUAAAUAAUAUUAAAAUAUUACAGGUCCCAAGAAUGAACAAUCAAUCUCUGAACGACUCACCACUGCAAUCACAAUACUCGAGUCUCCUUCCAAAACCAAAUUUGAAUUAGCAGUUUGGAAUUCCACUAGAAGCUCUGUUGCACGUCUAGCCGCAAGCAUUUCAGCAUGGGAAACCUAUGUUCCCCGAUGUGGAACAUGGAGUCUCAAAAACUCCAAUAAACAUAUGACAUAUGAGUGUCUAGUAAGAAACUUUUCUUAACUACUUGAGUUAUAAACUCAUUAUCAGAAUUUCUAAGAACCCGCUACCAUAAAUAUAUUGGACACUUGAACUUGUAACAAAUUCAUUAUCUGUGUAAGUUGAAUAUGAAAUCUCCCACUCACAAAUAGAGAGAAUUAACAUCAUCAGACCAUACUAUUAGUGGUUAUAUGCGUAAUAAGUUAUGGUAAACAUAAUUUGAACGGACGAAUUUGUUGAACAAGAAACUUGGAAUAUGAAUGCACAUAUAAUAGAAUGAUUUUAUUCCAUGUCCAUAGUUUGGUUCAUAAAAAAAGAAAUAGAAUGUAUAGAAAACAGGUAGAUGUUCCAUUGACGUACGUUGCAUGAUCACCCCCACCCCCAAAGGCCAAAUUAAGGGUUUGGUGGGUGAUGGCCUUCCCUUCAAAAGGAAGUCAGCAAUCACUAUGUUUGUCAGCCUUUUGACUAACUACAAAAAGUCUACGAUAUUCUGAUGUGUUAGGACUGCUCGACUCUGUCCAUUGUUGCUUGUGUUGAAGCUUCAAUCUUGCUUUUUCAGUUACCAGUUUUUUUUCAAAACUUUUAUAUUAAAAUAUGCAUAAAAUGCAGGUUUGAUGAGAAAAUGGUAAUUGGUUCCCUUAAACAUAAUUGACGUUGCAUGAUCACCCCAAAGGGUUUGGUGGGUGAUGGCCUUCCUCUCAAAAGGAAGUCAGCAAUCACUAUGUUUGUCAGCCAUUUGACUUAACUACAAAAAAAGUCUACAAUAUUCUAAUGCGUUGGUUGGUACUGCUUGACGAUCUGUCCAUUGUUGCUUGUGUUGAAUCUUCAACUCUUGCUUUUUCAGUUACCAAAUUCUUUUUUUUUUUCAAAACUUUUGUAUAUACAAAUGCAGCUUUGAUGAGAAAAGGGUUGCUUUGUUUCGGGUCUUGUUUUACUUUAGAAAACCACAUUAUUCAUGCAAAAAAAAGAUAUCAUUCAACUGAAUUUUUUAAUUCAAUUUAAAAACCAAUUGGUAGUGAGUAUAGAAACUAAACAUCGUUUAAGUUUUUAUUCAAAAGGUUUGAUUUCUCGAUAUGGACCUUCGACCUUCGAUUACACACAACUCAAACACAUGAAUUGUGUGUUUUGAUACCAUGUUAAAGUUCAACUAAUAAACUCAAAAGUAUUAUUCAUGAAUAAAAAACCCAAAAUUAUUUAAAUUGUUGUUGUAUUUGAACCACAAUUGUUAACAGUUCUGCGUGUUUGGUCAACAAAAAAAAUGGAGUUUUAACUAGGGGUGGGCAAACGGUUCCUGGAUCCGUGGGGCGGGCCGGUUCUUUGCGGUUAGGGGCGGGUAUGGGACGGGUCUAAAAAUUACAAAUACAAAACGGGCUAGGCCGGGCCGGUUCCUUAUAAAUAACGGGGCAGGCCGAUUCAAAAAAUUGGAAAAAAGGGGCCCCCGGCCCGGACCGUUCAUUGCAUCUAUGAUCUACCCUCUAUUAUUACUCAUUUACCCUAACUAUCCCCUCACCCUCUCUCUAUCCCGUCUCCACUCUCCUCCCUCGAUCUCUCCUCCCUCUCGAUCUCUCUCGAUCUCUUCCCUCUCGAUCUCUCGAUUUCAUAGAAGAUGACUAACGCCAGAGACGAACCGGGUGGAAGCAACAGCGGUGGCGGUGGAGGCGGAUUUCAUAGAGAGCAAGCAAAGACCUAGAAUCCAAUUGGGAACUCGAUUAUUUGCUCUGAUGAAAUACCCACUGAAGAAGAAGGCCAUGUCGCUAUUAAUUUCACAGAAGUUGUUCCUUUUGCUUCGGACUACUAUUUUUCUUUUAAAUUUUUUUACUUUAGGAAUUGUUUGUGAUGAUUUUUGUUGGGUGUAGCUGCGUUGUAGCUACUUUAUCAAGGUUCGGUCCUCCAAAAAGGGGUUGGUGGCGUUUCUUUCCCCCCCAUUUUAAUUCUUUUUUUUUUUCGAUUUUAUUGUAAAUUUAUAUAAUUUGAAUAUUUUGCUUCGUGGCGUUGGUAUUUUUUCUAAAGUUUAUGAUAUUAUUUCUGUAAAGAUUUGUUCUUUGUGGAUAUGCACCCAGAUAUGUGCAUUUGUGUGUGUGAUUUUUUUCCUUGAGCGAUUUGAGGAUGUUGAGGAAGGCGAUGAGGUCCUAGAGCGAUUUGAGUCUAUGUGGGGGACGAGCGCAUUGAAUCGUUUGGAAAUGGCGGGGCAGCGGAUGAGGGUCUUGAUGUCGAAGACCGAGUCGAACAUCGGGAGGAAGAUCGAGAGGAUGAGCAAGUCCGGGAGGCGAUCAAAAUCGGAAAAAAAAAAAAAAGUAAAAGGACCCGUGGACCCGUCCCAAACCGACCCGUUUCAAAUGGGCCGGGUUAGGUCCGGUUCCAAUGAUCAAAUUUACAAUACCCGGCCCGGCCCGUCCCGUUUCCUAUUUAAGCAGGUCCGGUCCGGUCUCUCUAAAUUUGGGCCCGGCCCGGCCUGUGCCCACCCCUAGUUUUAACGAAACACUCUCUAUACUGUUCACUUUUAACGAAAAUGACAUUUUUAUUCUAAAAAAUCAUUCAUGAUACUAUUCACUUACAACAUCUUUUUGUCAUUUUGAUUAAAACUCAAAAUUAUUAAAUUUUUUUUAUUAGUUUCCCUAAAAAAAAAAAAAACUCUUGAUUGAGUGGGUUUGAUUAUAAGAAUUACAUUUUCUUUUCUUUUCUUUUUUCCAUAAAAGAGACGACGACAAGCUAGCUAUCUUAUCUGACAAAUUUGACACAAUACUUGGCUACUAAAAAAUUAGUAGAAAUUCUUACUUAAAAAUUUUCAAAAUUAUUCGUUGUCAAUUUAUAGAAUUUCGUGUUUAUCAUCAUAACCGAUAAAUGACUCUAUAAAGAUCGUAUUUGUAAAAAAUCAAUUAACACUAAGAUUGUUUAGGCAUCAAACUGUUUUAAAAUAAAUAUACGGUAUUGGUAAAAGCAUUACGAACCGUCUAUGUACUUGCUAUAAUAGAUUGACUAAACGUCCUUAGUUUUAAUUUAUUUUUUGCAGAUAUAAUCUUUACAGUGUGAUUUAUAGUGUGAACGGUUCUGAUUAUAAACACAAAACUCUGUGAUUAAAACACUAAAAAUUUUGAGUAUUAGUUCCUACUCAUUUUUUAGUAGCCAAGUAUUGUUCUCAAAAUUUUACGUGGCAUUUUUUGUCACCUAUCUCAAAGUUUGACGCCUGUUAUUAACUCUACUUUUAAACACUGUUAAUUCUUUGAAAAAAAUUAAAAAAGAAAAAACAUGAAAAGUUAAACCUAGAAGCCCAACCGUUCCUGCCACUCCCACUCCCACUCAGUGUCGACCACCACCAUGGCAUCCCACAAAGCUUCCUCUUCUUCUCCUCACUGAGAAUCUCGUCGUCUCUUUCCAGAUCCCCGAUACUACCAUACCCACUUUACAGUGGCCCGCCAUAUCCGGGUCCAGAUCCUUAACCCCCAACACUUCACCAACGAGCUCGACAAAGGCAAUGACGAUUCUCCAAUUUCAACACCCAGUGGACCACCAUGGCGAUGGUCUGGGUUCUUCACAUUACAUAUAUAUUUUUUUUAUUCUUAGUGUUUUUAAGUGAGUUAAAGAGCGUUUAAGUGUAGAGUUAGCAGUUGACAAGUCACAAAGAGUUUUGGAUGCAAAAGAUUUGAAGUCGCACUAGCAUUAAGAUUAAAUAAAAAAUUAACCACACAAUAUAUGAUAAUUGAUUAGGAUGUAAAGAUUCUUAACAUACUCUCAAUUUGAAUUCGAACAGGAUCCAAAUCCGUCUAGAAUUAGGAUUAGGGGUGGUCAAUAUUAAUUGUUUUCUAAGUUAGAAAUUCCUUUUAUAAAAAGAACUUGCACACAUCACACGUGUGAGCGUAUUUUAUGUCACAAUUCAAUACACAACUCAUGGCACACGCAGCAACCAAAAAGAAAAAACAUCUCACCAUCUUCCAUUCCCACUAAGUCACUAUUCCAAUCAUUUUACUUUUUAUCUUACACCAAAAGGUAUUUGUUUGACCAAAUCAUGUAUACAUAACAUCUUAGGAAGGCUGCAAACAAAAAGAAAAAUCGAAUAUUUAUCCAAAAAGAGUAUGAAACGUUCCAAAAUAUUCCGGUUUUUUAUAUUUAUUUACCAAAAUUAUGUUUUGCAAUCAAGUUUUGUAUUUUAUUGUUAAUUUUGAAUGCACUUUGUUUAUUGUUUUUAUGUUAAUCAUACACUUAUAUAUUAAAAAUAAAAAGCAUAUAUCACAAAAUAAACUGGAUUUAUAUAUAAGCAUAAAUUUGGUCAAACAAUAAACUGGAUUUAAAUAUUGAGAAAUAACAAUAAAUUUGUAAGUACGAAAAAGUUCAAGAAUAUUAAAAAAACUUGUAAAAGAAAUGAAUUUCUAAAUCAUGUUUCCAAAUUUAUGAGAUUACUCUGAAUUCAAAUAUUCUAAAACUUUCGAAUUUAAAAAUUGUGAUCCGAUCUGACUUAAUUCUACAAUUUAAAAAAAAUGAAAACGUUUUGUUUCCAAUUCAUUCAUCUGACAAUCAACCCCAACUGAUUGAAUCCAAUCAAACUGCCCAAUAACACAGUCAAUUAACUUUCCAGAGGGAGGCCGAAAUACCUCUUCGAGUCUUCUCGACCUCAGAAUGAUAGAUUGCUACGACGAAGCCACCAACUGGUCCACUUUAAAAAAAUUAAAUAAAAUCAUCUUUCUAGGGCUUGGAGCUCAACUCAUCUAUGCGAACUCUCUAUUUUUAAAAUUCAAACGUAAGAUCACUCACUUACAAAUGAAGAAGAAUAUCACUAGACUGUUUUACUAAGUAGCUUUUCAAAUGCAUUACAUACUCUAAUGUUCAUUUAUUUACCAUAAAUGUAUUGUGUUUGCGUUGUAUGAAAUAAUGCUAAACUUAAACCCAAUUUGUUAACCACCAAUACCUAUAAUUUAUCGUGCAAAAUCUUAUCGUUUUAUUGCGUUGUAUAUUACUAUCACAUCAACUUCUGACUUAGAUGCAUUCAAUCCACGAAAAUCGAAAUUCACUUUGAAAUUUGAAGAUUAAUUUGGUACAUGAAAUAAUUUACCAAACAAAGAUUCAGUAAAAAGUGACUACAAAUACAACCAAUGGGUAAAUAAUGUAUGAGAACCAGUACAUCCUAAAAUACAUCUUGUAUACGGUCAGAGGGAAGAAACCACUAAAUCGUAGUACUAAAUGAUAUGUAUUUGUUAAAAUCCACAAAAAUUCACUUUUCUCGUUCAAUUCUUCCAUUUUUUUUCUUCCUACCUGCUACCACUAUUUAUUUUCAUUUCCAAAUUUUCAUGAUGUCAAACCAUCGUAUUAGAAAACCUAAUUGGUCAAUGAUGAAGAUAAAAAGGAGUUCUGGUGAACGUCGUUGACAAGAAUGGGUUGGUUGUGUUAUUUUUCAUAAUUUAUCGGAAUUUGAAUUUGGAGGUUAAAUGUUCAUAAGUUGAGAAUUAUUACCUCAAAAUGAGUUAGGUGCCACGCACAUGAAACUAAAUUAAAGGGCAAUAUGAAAAACUAAAUGAGAAAAUUGUAGCAAUAGUCUUUCAACUUUAACCUUAAUAGGAGAAAUGAUCCCUUAACUUUAGCCCAAUUGAAACAAUAGUUCCUCAAUUUUAACUCAAUUUUAGUAAUGUUCUUCUAACAUGGCUCAUUUUGACAGAAGUUAUGACGGAGUUGACGAAAAGAACCAUAGUUGUACUUUUUGGUGUGUUAAAGGACAAAUGGUAAUAUAUUUUUAAUUGAGGGAGCAUCGCUUCAAUUGGAUUAAAGUUGCGGUACCAUUAUAACUUAAAUGAGAUAAACCACACCAGUAAAAGCAAUUUACAUUGUAACAGCAUCGUCGUCAUCCUGUCCAUGUUGAGAUUUUGUUUGAACUGUUUAAUUUGAGAUGCAGAUACCCUCCUUGGCAAAAGUCUCCUUGAAUUGCAGAUUUGCGAUGGCACAAAAUAAUAAGUAGGUGAUUAACUAACUUGUAGCUAAUCGUGCUGAUAUGACAGUAAGUACCAGAAAGAAAAAACACGAUGAACCAACUCGGGAGUCGAGCACAAGUUCACAAACACAACAAACUCGCAAUCUAAAUCCCAUUGCAGCUGAGCAAUAUAUAACGUCAAGGAAUUAUCCGAAGAUCGCUUAACCGUAGCAAGAGCACUCUCAGGGAGCAAUCUCAUUCUUUUUUUCUGUCCAGGAGUCCAUUUCUAUCUCUUUCUCUUGUAUUACUUCCAGCUAGAACUGAAUGCGGAAAAUAUGGGAAAGCAUCUCGUGAUGUAUUUAACCAAAAAAGUUGUGAUGCUUCCACAUUCUCAAGUGAUUUAGACCCUUUUGUACGCACAUCUAAUUCCCAUUCCGUUUGAAGAUCGAAGCUAUAUGAAGCAAAUGGCAAUGGCUUCGUUUCCUCUGAAUGAAUGAGCUUAAUUAAAAACUGAAUAACAAAUGGCAUAGGCUUCCUUAAUUAAUUAGGUCCAAACUUGUAACAAAGAAAGGAAUAACAUCCCUAACUAAAAGAUUAUACGUAAAAAUUAAAAACUGAAUAAGCUUAAUUUCAGUAAAUGAAUCCAUAAUACUCAUCAUCCAUAUAUUAUAAUCUAGGGGAUACCCAAAUACAUAAUAUACCAAAUAGUUUUCAAAUUCGGAGCAGAACAGGAAAUUAUGUCAAGAGAUGAUGAAUGCGAACGGAACAUAGAGCAUCAACCCAAUGACAAUGCCAAGUUGCCAACGGAGUCCACGAUGAGCAAGUGAGCAAAUCAGUCCACAACAGCAAGAGCUUGAAACUGUUUGUCCGAGAAGGCUGCUUCCAUGACAUGGUGCGGGCCAAUAUCCCCACCAUUCUCCAAGAAGGACCUGACCAAAUUAUUAGACCAGCCACCCAAUAGCGUCACCCCUGGACGAGGCAAAGCGAUCGAAGGAAAUUCCCAGCACCAAAUAUCCCAAAUCAGAAUGUGAGGCACCGCAUCAUCCCAUACCCUUUGUCCUUAAACAUGGUCCUUAUGGCCUCGUACUGAGUCUCCCAGGCUGCGCUAUCAAAAAAAUCAGAGCCCAUGUUGUAGUUGAAGAUAAAGAGCUUCUGGAUCAUCUGAUCUGGCUUCAAAUUCUCAUUGACAGUCACUUGGAGAAUCAAAUCAAAUACCUUUCGCAAAUGAACUACCAGGCGGCCGUCCAUUCCCAUCGUUGCAGGGUACUGAAUACAGAUGAGGAAGACGAAAUAACAGAGCGUGGUCGUCCCCGGCAGCAGCCGGAAGAGGAGCGGAACUGAUCAGCUUUCCUUUCCAGGCCGGCUCUUCAUUCAGUUCACUCACAAAAAGUCCCAAACUCGCCGUCAAUUCCCUAGCCCCGCCCAUAAUUCUGUUCAUGUUACAUACAGCGAAGCAGUUUCUGAAUUUGCCACCCUCCUUGUGCUUGCGCAGCAAUGCAUUCCACUGAAGCUCAGCCGCUCCCCCAACAUUCGCAUCUUUCAAAUAUCGUAUGAUAAAAUGUGGAAGCAAAGCAUCGGGCUCUAUGACGAAACUUAAAUUGCCUUUGCUUGCUGUUGUUGCUGAGGCUUUCACCUGCUCCAAAUAUUUAAUAUCCACACCCCACCGUCUCGGGUUGAACCUGCCCUGACGCUUAUUGUACUUCUGCAAGGGCGCCAAGAACUCCUUCCUCAGCCGCUCCCACUGAUCAUCCUCCUUUGAUGAUUGGUCUGGUUGUUGCGAUUGCGACACCAAAGAGAAGAGCCGCCUGGCAGUGCUUUCGCUAAGCGCAAUGGCGCGGAUGGCAUGGGCGUCUGUAAAAAUAUAUUUGAUUAUUUUGACUUAAAUUGAAAAGGAUACAAAAGGCCUUUUAUACAGACUCAUUCUCUUGGAAGAGAAUUAACCUAGCCUACAAUUUAGCUAUACAAAAAAGGAAGAUUUUGUACAAAUCAAUUACAGACUUUGUUUCCUAUUCUAAGCUAAGAUAUCAGGGAUCUUGAUAUCAUUGACUUCUCAACACUCCCCCUCAAGUUGGAGAGUGAACGCCGAGAACUCCCAACUUGCGUAUGAUGGAUAAGAAAGCCUCCUUUCCUAAUGCCUUUGUGAAAACAUCUGCAAGCUGGUUUGAAGAGGGAAUGUAUCUUGUGACAACCGAACCAUCUUGUAUCUUGUCUCGAAUAAAAUGACAAUCAAUCUCUAUAUGUCUAGUUCGUUCAUGAAAAACUGGAUUAGCAGCUAUAUGGAGCGCCGCUUUGUUGUCACAAUGUAGCAAGGCCGGUUUUGGGUGAAGCAAACCUAGAUCCUUCAGAAGAUAUUGAAGCCAUGACAGUUCACAACAAGUUCCAGUCAUGGCUCUAUAUUCGGCCUCUGCUGAUGAUAAAGAAACGGUCUUUUGUCUCUUUGACCUCCAAGAGAUCAACGAAGAACCCAAAAAGACGCAAUAACCUGUAGUUGACCUUCGUGUCGUAGGACAUCCUGCCCAGUUUGAAUCACAAUAUGCACUUAAGUUUAAGUUGUUUUGAGAAGAGAAAAACAAACCCUAUCCAGGCGUACUCUUCAAGUAUUUCAGGAUUCGGAGAGCUGCUUCCAUGUGCGGUUGUCGUGGUUCAUGCAUGAAUCGGCUCAACACAUGCACGGGAUAAGUGAUGUCUGGCCUUGUAAUAGUUAAAUAGAUCAAUCGACCAACCAACCUUCUAUACUUUGCCGGAUCUUUAAGCAACUCACCAGUGUUAGAAAGUUUAACAUUCUGCUCCAUAGGAAACUCCACUGGGCGAGCUCCCAAAAGACCACUAUCUUUCAAAAUUUCUAAAGCGUAUUUUCGCUGAGAAAUAAAGAUCCCUUUCUUUGACUGAGAAACCUCUAUUCCCAUAAAGUACUUCAAGUUACCAAGGUCCUUGAUUUUGAAGUGACCAUGAAGAAAUCUUUUAAGAGCAUUAAUUCCUUCAUGAUCAUUGCCAGUGAUCAAAAUAUCGUCAACAUAGAUCAGGAGGGCUAUAAAGGAUUGCCCUUGCUGCCUCGUAAACAAAGAAUAAUCUGCCUUUGAUUGGAUAUAACCAGCGGAUUUAAUUGCUUCUGAAAACUUUGCAAACCAUUGCCGGGACGCUUGUUUCAAGCCGUAGAGGGAUUUAUUAAGGCGACACACGAUAUUCUCCCCCUGUCGCCGAAGACCAGGAGGAAGGGUCAUAUAGAUUUCUUCAUGAAGAUCACCAUGAAGAAAGGCGUUGUGGACAUCAAGUUGGUGGAGAGACCAGUUGCGGGCAGCAGCGAGGGCUAACAAACAACGAACAGUGACCAUCUUAGCAGUAGGGGAGAAGGUAUCGUGAUAAUCAACACCUUCAAGUUGAGUGUAACCCUUGGCUACAAGGCGAGCCUUAUAACGUUCAAUAGAACCAUCAGAACGAUGUUUGAUCUUAUAAACCCAACGACAACCAAUGGGAGUUUUGCCGACAGGGAGAGGAGUGAGUGUCCAAGUAUUAGUGGCCUCCAAAGCACGGAGUUCAGAGUCCAUGGCAGCAUGCCAAUGGGAAUGAAGAGCAGCCUGAGCAUAAGUGUGAGGUUCGACCUGCCGACUGAUAGAAGCAAGGAAAGAUUUUUGUUGAGGUGAGAAACGAUGAUAAGUGAGAAAAUUAGCAAGAGGAUACCUUGUACCGGUGGUAGGACCUGUCGACGAAGAUGAUGAAUCGAUUGGUUGGGUAGAAGGCAAAGUAGGGCAAACAUAAUCACUGAAGCGAGCGGGAGGAGCUGAGCGACGGUCAGAGUGGCGAAGCACGGGUGCAGAGGGCACGGAAGGUGCUGGAGGCACGGGCGCUGGGAGCGCUGAUAUGGCAGGAUCAGGUACAGAGGGAGAUGUAGCAUCAGACGCGGGAGGAAAAGACUCAACAGGUGACACGGGAGAAACAAUGGGUGCGGAAUGAUCAGUGUAGUCAAGAAGGGGUUGAGGUAAGACAGGUCCUGGUUGGUCAUCGGAUGGGGAUUGAUGUUGGUAAGGGAAAAUAUGCUCGUGGAAAAUAACAUCACGGCUUGUAAAAAACUUAUGGGUGGUGAGGUCGUAGAGUUUAUAGGCUUUUUGGCCAACAGGAUACCCUAGAAAAACACACUUAUGAGAAAUGUGAGUAUUUGUGGCAUAGGCAAGACAUCCAAAGACUCGUAAGUGGGAAUAGGUAGGGGAUGUGGAAUAGAAACGUUCAAAAGGUGUAGUGUUGGAAAGAACUUUGGUAGGGAGACGAUUAAUAAGGUGAACUGCUGUGAGCACACAUUCACCCCAAAAACGAAGUGGGAGGUUGGCUUGAAAACGCAAACUACAGGCUGUUUCAAGGAUGUGACGAUGCUUGCGUUCUACAACCCCAUUUUGUUGGGGCGUAUAAACGCAAGAGUGUUGGUAUAUGACACCGUGUUCUUGGAAAAAAUCACGAAGGGAGAAAAACUCACCUCCAUUGUCCACACGGAUUUGACAAACAAGUGUAUUAAAUUGAGUACGAACAUAAGAGAAAAAAUUCUUAAGGAGGUGUUGGGUCUCAUUUUUGUGAUGCAUAAGAAAGAUCCAUGUGAAACGAGAAUAAUCAUCUACUAUAGUCAAAAAAUAUUUGGCUCCACAAGUAGAGGCAAUUUUAUAAGAACCCCAAAUAUCACAAUGAAUUAGAUCAAAAGGUUUCUUGGUUGAAAUGGUACUAACACCAAAAGGUAAACGACUUUGCUUGGCUAAUGGACAAACAUCGCAAGCAUUAUUAGACUGAAAAGGAAAAUGUAACAUGUUUUUGGACAUAAAAUCUAAUCUAGAUGAUGACAAAUGACCUAAACGUCGAUGCCACAACUCUGUAGGUGAUAGAACGAUAUUGCAGAAACGCCUCGAAGUGCCAUCUUGGACAGGAGCCAAUGCCACCAAAUAGUAGAGUCCUCCUCGUUGCUUACCCAAACCAAUCGUCCUCUUCGUGGUCAGGUCCUGCAAAAUACACCAAGUGGGAAAAAAGGUGACGGAACAAUUUAAUCCUCCAGUAAUUCGACUUACUGACAUCAAAUCUACAUUAAAAGUAGGCACACACAACACAUCUCGUAGCAAAAAGGUAGAACUCAAAGGUAAAUCUCCAGUUGAUACAAUAGAUGCUUGUUCUCCACUGGGCAAUAAAACUGGCAGCAUAUUAGUAUUUUUCACACUAUGAGUGAGCAGUUUCGGUGAGGAGGUGAUAUGGUCCGUCGCACCACUAUCGAUAAUCCAUCGAUGGAGAUGCGAAGGAUUUUUUGACAAACCUUUGGUAGUGGUGGCAGCAUUGGCUUGUGGGGCUGCAAAUGCAUCUUUGCCAUUCAUAAUACUGAGAAUUUGUUGAAAUUGAGAAUCUGAUAAACCUGACAUCACAGACUGCAUCUCUUGCACAGAAGGUCCUUCAGAGGAAACUAUGUGAGCUGACGAUGAGCCGGUGUCUCGCUUGGAGCGAUUCCCACCACGGGGAUUGGAUUUGUUGGUUUUAUGAAGACGAUGCCCAGGUGGAUCCAUGCAACUGAUAGCAAGUAUCAAUAGUGUGGUAAUCUUGAUCGCAGUGCGUACAAUGCAUGGGUUUACGAGUGGAAGAGCCUGAGGACUUGGAAUGGUGGCCCUGGCGAACUGCCAUGGCUGCUGUUGCAGUAGUGGUGCGAGAAAGGCUCAAGGAGCGCUGUUUCUCCUCCUGUGAGAUUGAGGAGUAAGCUUGACGUACAGUAGGCAAGGGAUUCAUCAAGAGGAUUUGUCCUCGAACAGCACUAUAUGAAUCAUUGAGUCCCAUAAGGAACUGUAUCAACCUAUUCCUUUCAUUUUGAGCACCACAUGUGCAUGAGGAUGAAUCAUUGUAGGAAGACAACUCGUCCCACAGACUCUUCAACUUGGUAUAGUAGGCUGCAAUAGAAAGUUGAUCUUGAGAAAGACACGAAAUAUCCCGCUGUAAUUGAAAAAUCCGAGGAGCAUUACUUUGGGAGUAUCGCUCUUCCAAUUCGUCCCAAAUCUCAUGAGCACCAGUCAUGUAGAGAAUGUUGUCUGAAAUAUCUGAAUCGAUUGAGUUGAUGAUCCAGGCAACAAUCAUGUCGUUGCAUCUCUUCCAUGCAGCAUGAUCGUUCGGUUGGGUUUUUGCUGGUGGUUGUGGAACAGUGCCGUCAACAAAACCAAUCUUGUUUUUAGCACUCAAGGAAAUCUUCAUGGCUCGGGACCAGGUGGAAUAGUUGUCCCCAUUAAGGGGUUUCGAGACCAGCACCAUAGCUGGGUGGUCUGAAUGAUGAAUGAAUAGUGGAUUGGAAGCAUCAGGCUUGCUUUCGCUCGAAGUUCGAUCAUCGGCCAUGGCUAAUGAUCAACGAAAAAAAAAACACGCUGCUUGUGAUGAACAGCGGCAAAGAGAAACAACAGCAGAAAAAGAACUAGGGUUUCGACCUAGCUCUUGAUACCAUGUAAAAAUAUAUUUGAUUAUUUUGAAUUAAAUUGAAAAGGAUACAAAAGGCCUUUUAUACAGACUCAUUCUCUUGGAAGAGAAUUAACCUAGCCUACAAUUUAGCUAUACAAAAAAGGAAGAUUUUGUACAAAUCAAUUACAGACUUUGUUUCCUAUUCUAAGCUAAGAUAUCAGGGAUCUUGAUAUCAUUGACUUCUCAACAGCGUCGGAGGGGAAUGUGGUGAGGAAACAGUCUGCGGCCUCGGAGACGUAGAGAUCAGCAAAAGCAUCAGCAUCAAUAGGACGUAUAACAGAAUCAUGUUCCCGAGAAUCAUCCUCGUCAUGAUCGUCGUCAUCAGUUAAAUAAUCAGAAGGCUUGAGUUCCAAAUUUGUUCUGCUGCAUCUUUUGAAUAUCGGACUUGAGCCGCUCCACGAAAAUAUCCAUAGCGCGGUCGUGCAAGGACUUGUAAUGCGGAUCGCGGUCGUAUCUCUGGCGGUGUUUCUCCUCCAUCUCCUCCACCUCCGUCUCCUGCUGGUCCUGCGGAAGGAGAAGGCUGUAGAGAAUCUCGACAAUGGCGUACAAUCCCCCGAAAGAGUCAAGGUUAUGCGCCAGAGUUCUGGGGUGGUUGUGGUGGAGCCAAGACGUGGCCGCGGACGAGGCUUCCGGAGAGAAGUGAUUUGUGGAGAGGUUGAAGAUAAGCUUGAGGGUGGUGAGGGGGUUGUGGGACCAGGCGAAUGGGAGCCGUUGCUCGAGAGAGUUGAUGAGGGCAGUGUUAGUGUGGGAAGUACGGGCGGCAGAUGCUGGUGGUGGUCGCACCUUGAAAAAGAUAUCGAGGCACGGGUAGCUGUAGAAGGAGGAGGAGGAGUAGGAGGAAGCCAUAAUCUGAGGCUUAGCGGCGGCGUCAGCCACCUUGGACGCUAUGAAUCUUGUUGCGAGGUGGAUUUGCGGAGGAGGAGCGACACCAACCACCCUUGUCAGUGAAGGAAAAGAAACAAUGCUGCCUGGCCAGAUUCUUCAUCUCUAAAUCUCAAAUUCAAAUUAUGUCCCUCUCCGUUGGGUGGCGGUUGGAGUAGGAAUUGUGGAUCUUUAUUUGUUGGAGAAGAAGAUAUGAGGAUAUAAAUUGGGUCCGGGAGUUGUGCGUGUCAUGUAAUUCUCAUGAUUAUUUAUCCUUGUUUUCCAAGUAAUACGAUUAAUAAUCUAUUAGGAUUUAUAAAAAUCACAGUUUAAUAGAAUUAGGACUGCAACCAUCUUUCACUUUUUAACAAAAAUUACAACAACAAAGCCUUAUUGAUCCUUCUAAAUAAGAAUUUUUUAUUUUAGAAAAAGUAAAUGAUUGUUUGGUUCAGAAGAAUAGUUUUCCUAUUUGUUUGUUUGUAAUUUUCUGUUUCGUUUUACAAAACCAUUUCAUUUAUAAAUAACGUUAAGAGAGCGUGUGAUACUUUUUGAUCCCUCACCUCAGCUGGGUUGAUAAAUAUCUUUAGCUCAAUACGUAAUUAAGAUUGUUUGUUCAAUUUAUUGGAGCUGAGCAGUGUGCCAUUCCUAAUUUCUUUGGUUUACAAUUGUCACGCAGCUCAUGCUGCCAUGGUUCCACGCUUGUUAAACUACUUUUAGUUUGAACAAUGUUUUGCGAAACCCAUUCUGCCAUGGUUCCACGCUUGUUAAACUACUUUUAGUUUGAACAAUGUUUUGCGAAACCCAUUCAUUAAACCACUCUAUUUUAUAUUAAUUCAUAUAUAUAUAUAUAUAGAAAGCAAAUAGCAUAAACGGUUUUACGUGCGUCCACGUUUGCCUAAUUUAUUUAUCUAAGAGGCAAAACGUUUUUACGUGCAUCCACAUUCGCCUAAUUUAAAAUAUUUAAAAUAGCACUCUUACUUAAUGCUGCUUGCUUCAGCACUUCUUCCUUCUCUUCUCUAGAGUGACCUAAUGCUCCUUGAGCACUUUUUCCUUUUCUGGAGUAACCUCUAUCCCCACCCUCUACUUCCCUUUUGAAAUUGCCAGAGUUAUCAUCAUUUAUUAAAAAUUCCACUUUCCAACCAUGCUCCUCAGAAGAGGCAAGCUUGCAGAGGGCUUCUGCAUCUUGGAAAUCUUCAACAACAACUCUCCUAUGGCUCUGUAGCUCCUCCCCGUCUCUUAGAAAAGCCGCCUUCUUCGCAUGGAAGUUUUCUAGCUUUUCAGAGUCAACAUUUUGGUUAUUACUUUCGAGGCUUCUCACCUCUCUCUUCAGGGGAAGGUAAUCAUUUUGUUUGUUUGAUUUCUUUCUAAUAUUCAAAUAAUUAUUGUUGUGUAAUCCUGAUAGCAUUGUUGCUGCAGCUUGAAUAGAUAUGUACCAGAGCAUGUGAGAUGCUCUUGCGCAGCAGUAUGGUGGCUCUGCAGCUCACAACACUGUAUGUUCUUAUUUUAUUCUUGGGUUAGAGCAUGUAUAUAUUAUCAGUUGGUAGAUGUCAUAGAUCAACCCCUAUAUUCUAACGUAAAGUAAAAAAAGAAGAAAAACUCUAACUCUAAUCAGAUGUCCACUGAAAAGAAAACAAAUCACAUUACAGAUCAAUACCUUUUUGCAAUCUUCUUGACAACAACAACUUAUCUGGGUAUCUUCUGCCAGGGUUCUCGGAGUUGCCAAGCUUAUUAAUGCUGUAUGUUUUCUUACUUCGGAACAUAAAUUUGUGCCUUAAUUAUGUUUUCAUCCUUUCCUUUCUUGCAUUUUCGUACCGUUGGGAACAAUUCUUUAGACUUUCCUUUUUCUACAACAUAAUUUGAGGGAUAUCAAGUUUCUUAGCCCUAUAAUCUUAUUUGUUUUGCAGUCAAGUUGACAACAACAACUUUGGUGGGAUUACAAUUCCAGAUUCGUAUAGCAACAUGUCUAAACUGUUCAAGUUGUAAGUGCUGCUUAUGAUUCUAUGUCUUUUGGUAAGUUGUAAGAGCUUUAAAUCUCCAUUUUUUCAUACAUCAGAUUUAAAGCUCCAACUACGGAGGUGUAAAUCCAAAAGAUUUGUGAUUAACCAUAGCAACAAUAGAGGGAAUCAUAGUUUUUGUUGGGAAACACAUUUCCAACCACUGUGCAGGGAACAUCUCCCGUUUCUAUCUGAUGUUAUAUCACAUUAGGUGAUGGUGCUAGUUGUUUGGAAUGACAAUCGAGAAGUAGCUCUUAAUAUUUAACACAACGAAUCAUGUCAACAUUGAAUAUCUUUGUGUUUUUGUUGAUUCUUUCAGGAGUUUGAGGAACUGCAACUUACAAGGGCCUAUUCCUAAUUUCAAUAGGUUUCCAAACCUUGGUUAUGCAUAGGUUCAAGUUUAAUUGUGUAAUAAAUGGAGAGAUUGAUCGCCGUCACUCAUAGCUGCGUUUCAGGAAACAAGUUUAUCUCUUGCCAAUUUUGUGUACCCACUUUUUAUUCAUGAUGGUUAGUGCUCGCUUGCAACCCAAUUAGCUGCUAUAAAGUUUUGCGUUUUACAAUCGGUUCAUGCUUAAACCUCUUCCAAUUUUGCAAUUCUGUGUAAAUCUUGCAGGUCAAGAUGGGACACAUAUCUGGGCAAUGUUGGGAUGUCUAGGCUUGGGUGGAGACGUGGACUUAUAAAAGUGGUGAAGUAGCUUAGCUCUAUCUCAUUAGCUCUCAUCUGUUCUGUUUAAAGCUCAUUGGUGCUGGCUCUGAGAUUUUUCGAAACUCUCCGUUUUCGAAAUCUGAAGCUUAGAAUCCCAUUCAACCACAAGGAACUAGAAUAAUUGGAAAAAAAAAUGUUUUGGCGUCCAAAAAGAAGCAUGUGCAAUCCUCUAAUUUUAUUAAUAUAAAAGAAGUGAUGCAAAUCCAGUAAAGAUGUAAAUAAGAGCUAUUAGUGGGGAAAAAAUAGUUGUGUUUGUACCAUACUUAGGGCCUCCAUAUUUAGAUCUCGUAUAAAUACUCGGGAGAUUCAAAUGUAAUUAUGUAAUAAAGGAAGGGGCAAAUAUGUAAUAAAUGAGGAGCCCUUAUUCUAUAAAAUGACCUCUCACUCUCCUCAUUAAGGAGGCCAAUUCCUAGGCCAUGAGAAGCCUCCUCACAUCCCCUAAGCUCUAAGCUCUCUCAAAGCUCUCACUCUCAUAUUCAGAGCUCUCUCUCCCUCAGAAAUACAAUAUCAGUGUGGACGUAGCCUAAACCUUGGGGUGAACCACGAUACAUCUUGUGUUAUUUACUUUCUUGCAGAUUCACGGUCAGAUUUACGUUGUUCCAAGACCCUUCCGGUUUUGUGCAUCAACAUUUGGCGCCGUCUGUGGGAAACGACACGAAAAACUAUGUCGGUUCUCUUUCAUUUUUUCACCUUCACCAUGAAUCUGCAUAAUCUGCAAAAUCUACAAAAACCCAUGAACCCAAAGCUUUCCUAAAAAAACCCAGAAACAGAAAAAAAUUCAAUCUUUCUUCUCUCUCUUUGCAUUUCACUCUCAAAUCUCCAUUUCUGAGUUUCGAAAAUGCAGAUGCUUUCCCGACAUUGGGUACCUUUCUCCAACUGCUCUCAGGUUACAGCCGUUGAUCCGCGACCCGAAAACCGGCGGAGCCCCACCAUUCUCCGAAUUCUCAUUCGCCGGCCGAUCGAACCGCAACUCGAGCUCACUGACUCGGUCACUCAGGCUCUGCAGGAACAACUCACCCCCGAGCCUCUCGACUCACUGAAUCAUCCCGUACGAAAGAAGCGACGGUGUUUUGAUUGGGGUCGGACUCAACAGCUCCGCAUCUUCUUCAUUCCAACUCUCUCAACGUCUCACUUAUAAUCCAGUCUCCAGCAAGCUAGCAAGCCCCAUAGUCGACCCACUACUCGAAACACCGUCGUUCUGUAGCGAAACAGCACCCAGCGUUCAAAUCGACAAUGAUGGUUGAUCGUUUGUUCGAGGACAUAUUUCAGAUUCUGCGAUUGAACCCAGAUGGCGAAAAGUUCGAUAAAGUUACUCGAGUAGAAGCAAAGAGUGAGACUUGCGAGAUGUUCAUGCACCUGGAUGUGAAUUCAGAGGUUUAUCUGAUGAGGGAAGGGCAAUCGCAAGACAUUGGCUGACGAAUAUGAGUAUGUCAUGCAAUGGAAGCUUUUUAAGAUUUCAGAGGGUUCUAAACGUGAUCCAAAAGCCAGUGCCAGCACAACAUCACCAUCGUCGAUUGCCAGCCCUCUGGCCCCUCCGGCGGCAUGCUCGCCUUCGUUAACGGCAAUCUCCAGCUCACCAACGAACAACACGCUCUCAAGUCCAGCCAGAUAGAGACAGAGACUGAAUGAGAAUGGUGCAGUGGAAAGAGAGGAUCGAAGGUGGUAAGCUACACGUGAGGGAAGUGAGCAUGCAUGUGGAGGCCAACGAGGAUAAUCAUGGGGGAACACAUGGGGGACAAUGCAAAAGAGAAAGAGAAAGAAAAAGAAAAGGGAGACCACCAGUAAAGCUACAGAAAAAAAAAAGUAGAAAAGAGAAAGUAAAAGCAAAAGAAAGCAGAAAAGGAAAAGCCGAAAAGAAGAUGCUCCACUAUUCCACUAUCCCACAUGAUAACAUGAUUAAAGAUAAGAAGAUGCCUACCAAGGUUCCCCGUCUCCACUUUCUGUUGGACCAGAAUAUGCCCAUCAACAUGCUGAAAACAUGUAAUUUAUUUUUCUUAUCUUUCGGAGACAUCUAUAUAAACCCCAUCAGAGGGUAAUAAUAAUAAUAAAAAAAAAUAGCAAAGCCCAAAAUAAAUGGGCUGGAAUGUUGUGUGGAGGGCGAAGGUCCAUAAGCUCAAAAUAGCACCAACCAGGUGACCAAAAGUACGCCCAGUACUACAAAAAAUUAUUUGGCACCCUGCCGCUAUUAUCGCCAACCAGGUGAUCAAAAAUACGCCCAGUACUUCAAAAUUUAUUCGGCACCCUGCCGCUAUUAUAACCAACCAGGUAAUUAAAAGUACGCCCAAUACUUCCAAAUUUAUUCGGCACUCUGCCGCUAUUAUCACCAACCAGGUGAUUAAAAGUACGCUCAGUACUCCAAAAUUAUACAUGAGCAUCACUCAUGUCAUUCAUACAUAAACAUUCAUGAGCAUCACUCAUGACAAUCAUACAUAAACAUUCAUCACCAUGAUUCAUGUCAACAUUCAUGAGCAUCAUUCAUGUCAACAUUCAUGAGCAUCACUCAUGUCAACAUCUAUGAGCAUUACUCAUGUCAAUCAACAUAAACAUUCAUGAGCAUCACUCAUGUCAAUCUAGCUUCAAAAGCUUCAUUUACAUAGCUCUAGCUUCAAAAGCUUCAUUUACAGAGCUCUAGCUUCAAAGCUUCACUUCAAAGCUUCACCUAAAAAGCUUCAGUGCAGGGUAUACAAAUACCGCAUUCGAACAACCGCCACUUCGACCUAUACAUGGAUUCGAUUUGAAGUCUCCAGCCAACAUACUCUAUUGAUCGAAGACUUGGGGGACUACAUUAUGUACCAUACAUUGGGCCUCAAUUGGGUCUCAUGAAAAAUACUUGGGGAACUCUAGCCCAUUAUGUAUUGAGGAGCGAUCCCUUAUUUUAUAAAAAUGACUCCCUCACUUUCAUUAGAGAGCGCCUAUUAUUCAUGUACUGAGGAGCGAGCCCUUAUUUUAUAAAAGGGACUCCCUCACCUUCAUUAGAAGAGCAUCGUCGCCAGCUGAGCAACCGCCUCGUCGCGAGCAUCACUCUUAACCCAUCACUUAUGUAUUGAGGAGCGAGCCCUUAUUCUAUAAAAGUGACUUCCUCACUAUCAUUAGAGAGUAUCGCCGCCUGCUGAGCAACCGUCUCGCCGCGAGCACCAACUCUAACCCAUCAUUUUUUUUAUUGAAGAGUGAGCCCUUAUUCUAUAAAAGGGACUCCCUUACCUUCGACACCACAAGCCAAACCAACCAAGGCAACAUAAGCCACAAGCCGAGCAGCCUCGCAACAUGUGCUACUUCUAGUUGAGCAUUAUUUCAAAUUGAGCACCGCCUCAUAUCGAGUAUCAGUCCUAGAUGACAUCUAGUUACUUCGGCUCAUACAUGGACUGAGUUUCAAGUCUCCAGCCAAAAGACUCUCUUGACUGAAGACUUGGGGGACUACUGUUUGUACCAUACUUAGGGCUUCCGUAUUUAGAUAUCGUAUAAAUACUCGAGAGACUCAAAUGUAAUUAUGUAAUAAAGGAAUGGGCAAAUCUGUAAUAAGCGAUGAGCCAUUAUUCUAUAAAAGAACCCUUCACUCUCCUCAUUAAGGAGGCCAAUUCCUAGGCCAUGAGAAGCCUCCUCACAUCCCCUAAGCUCUAAGCUCUCUCAAAGCUCUCAUUCUCAUAUUCAGAGCUCUCUCCCCCUCAGAAAUACAAUAUUAGUGUGGACGUAGCCCAAACCUUAGGGUGAACCACAAUACAUCUUGUGUUAUUUACUUUCUUGCAGAUUCACGGUCGGAUUUACGUUGUUCCAAGACCUCUCCAGUUUUGUGCAUCAACAAGUAGUAUAAUUCCAGGCCUUGAAGAAGGCUACAAAGUAUAUGGGAAUAACGUAUCUAUGUAGUGUUUAUGUUUGUUCAUUUCUCCCUUGCGGUUUUUUAUGCCUGUUAAUGCUUGAACAAUGAUGCAAGUCAAUCAAGCAGAUAAGAUUCAGAAAGAAAACUCCACAUCUGUUGCCAGCAAUGCUCAUGGGGAGAAGUAUAGGAAACCAAAGCCUACAAAUCUGAAGCCUUUUAGGUUUAGAAUUGAUGUAUGUGAAACCUGUUGUGACCAAUUUCUUUAAUAAGUAUUAGUAGCGUUGAUGCUUAAUAUGAUAUGUUUUGGCUUUUUUUUUUUUAGGAAAGAGGGAUGUUGAAGGAAGCAACUUUGGAGAAAAAAACUCAUGCACCACUGAAGGAGAUCACAUUAGUCAGGACUCCAGGGGCAAAGUAAACAAGCAAACAUCAGAAUGUUAUACAGGUAUACUUAGGAGCUACAAGUGCUUUGUGUGUGGUUUGAAUCUGAACAAUUACAUUGUGUAUCAUCGUCAUAUAGGCAAAUUUGUUAUGUGUGAUGGUGUAUUUACGCAUGACUGAAAUGGAUGAUCUAAUUUUAUGCAAUUUAUAAUUUUGGGUUUCUCUAAUUUUUUUUUUUUUUUUUGUGAUUUAUUUGAUGAAAGUUUCAAUCUUCAGGUACAUUUUUCAUAUAUGUACUCAUCAAAUGUCACGAUUACUGUUCCUUUGGUUUUUUGGGCUACAAAUUAAAUUUUGGGGUUGUUCAAAUUUGUUUAAUUUGGUCCAAGAUUAAUCGAUUUGAUGUUCUAGGUUCUUUGCAGGCAAAACAUUGGAGCAGUUGGUCAUAUUUGGAAGAGCAAACGAGGAUGGAGUUCUUGGUGUUGCAUGAAGUUGAUGUGUAUCAGAUGGACAUCCAUCAUGUCUUCAAUGGAAGAAAUUUGAUGUCACCAUCUUCAGCUUUCCUCAUGCAAACCAUUACUCUUAGCUAAGUGAAAAAUACUCGGACCUUAUUGAGUAAGUCACUAUUCAUUUCAUUUAAAUGCUGAUUAUGAUAGUAUGUGUAAAUUGUAAAUAUAUUGUACAUAAAAUUUUCAAUUCCGCAGCAAUGCGCGGGCACCAUUGCUAAUAUAUACUAAAAGAGAAAAAUGUGGUACUGUAGAAGUAACAGUGUUAUUCCAUUUCUACCCUUCAAUUGCUAUGUAAAUUUAGCUUUUUGUGUGUAUUAUAGAGUAAAAUGACAUUUUUGUCCAUGCUGGGCAAUAGAAAUCUCUCCAUUUCUUCAGACCCCGCACUCAGCUUUCGCCAUCUCUCUUCCAUCUCUGCUUCGCGCUCUUCAAUCUUUUUGCUUUGUCAUCUCUUCCUCCGUGAUUUCUUCACCAGCAACUUUGCUCAAGAUCUUUCCAAUUGAAAAAACCCAGAUCAUCAUCAUCUAUUCCUCAUCACCACAGGUACCUUCUACACCUAUUACAUGUCAAAAUCUGCUUCGUGUUCUCUUCAUGUUUUAGUUCCUUUUCACUGCUUUUGGUUGAUUUUUAUUCCCAUUUCUUUUCGAUCUCUUCUUUCGUAGCCGUCUGCUCUCUCUUCUUUCUUCGCCUCUGUUGGUCUCAAAGUGGAUAGUUUUGCGAUGAGUUGUUCUAAUCUUGCAUCUACAACUUUUUUAUGCAACUGUAUGGAUUGUGUUCUGUUCAAUUUUAGAUGUUAGAAGCUUUUAAUUUUUUAGGUUCAAUUUUAAAUGGGUUGUUGCUUUCGGAGUUUUCGUUUGAUGACAGAGAUGGGGUUUUUUGGGGAGAAACUUUUAAUAUUUUCCCCCCUUUUAAGCAGCAGACUUCAAAUCUUUGUCCAUUCCCAUUUUAUCGAAAAAACAGUUCAUAAAGUUUCAAUUUUUAUCAGAGAAAAGAGAGAGAGAUGAGAGAAAUCAUAAGCAUUCAUAUUGAGCAUGCUGGAAUUCAUGUGGGCAAUUCAUGCUGGGAGCUCUACUGCCUCGAGCAUGGAAUUCAACCUGAUGGGCAGGUGCCCAUGUAGGUUUUUGUAUAUCUCCAUCGAUAUUUCUAUUUAUAUAUGCACUUUUUUUGGGUUUUUUAUUUAUUUUGGUGGGUGUGUUUCUCAAAUGGUAGUGCCUUCGUCCAUGAGCGGUAGGUCUCGGGUUUGAGACUUGGGAGCAGCCUCUCCAUAAAUGGGGGUAAGGCUAGCCGACAUUCACCUCUCCCAGACCCUGCGUAAAGCGGGAGUUUUGUGCACUGGGUACGACCUUUUAGUCGAUGGUGAAACUAAAAGUUACCAUAAAAGAAAUAGCAUUGAUUUUGCUUGAAUCUGACUGAUCGGAUGCAUUUGCUUUCUUUGCAAGGUUGUUGAAAUUGAUACGUCCCAAGUCUGGUGAGAUUAGAGAUAGUAUCAAGGAACUGAAUAUGAUGUAACAACACAUCCAUUGCAGGUCACUGAAGCUGAUAUUGAACAUUGCCGAUUCAUCAGAACCUAUAUUCUUCUGCGUUUCCUCAAAAUCCAAGGUACGGACUUCACCAAGCCGUAAGUUAUUGGGAUUUUUUUAUUUUGGUUUUGGAUUAGUAAUUUUUUGCUCGGUAGCUGAGAAAAUGUUAUCCCGUGUUUUAGGUCUUGUGUUUUUGUGAUUUUGGGUUCGUAGGUUUUUCAGAUUUUGGGAGUUUGUUUGUAGGCUGCAAAAUCCUCUGUUCUCAAGGUAAGUAAUUUAAAAUUCUGGGAUUAUUCAAUUGAAAGUUUCAAUUUAUAGUUUAGUUUAGUUUAGUUAUUUUAUAAUUAUACAAUAAUUUUAAGUCUCAAGGUGAGUAAAGUCAUAUCAAAUUCAGAGCAGAAAACAACAAAUGUAAAACAAAAACAGAAAUUAUGCAAUAAAUCCAUCUAAAAUUCAGCAAAACGAAGUUCAAGAAACAAACUUUUCAUCUUAAUAUGUUGAAAAGGAAGAGAAUUGCACCUCCCGAGAACACAAACAAACAAACUCUGCAGUAAAGAAACCGGCAGCCAAGUUUGAGUCUUUAACUGAUGCUAUAGAACCCACCAAACAGAAAAACUAACAAAUGGAAGGGGGGAGAGAGAGAGAGAAAGAGAGCCAAAGUUUGAGUCUUUAACUGAUGCUGCAAAACCCACCAAGCAGAAAAGCUCACAAAUGGAAGGAGAGAGAGAGGGAGAGAGACAAAGUUCAAAUGAAUAGUGAAAUGAGGUACAUUUUCCUAGUGAGAUAAGUAAAAGUAUUAAUUAACGUAUUUAUAUUUUAUUAGUAAGAUAAGUAAACUAAGAAUUGUAUAUAUACUAAUAGUUCUGUCUAUUUUUUUCCCCUCUUAUGUUUUGCCUACUCAUAUUCAUCAAUAUGUUAUUCUCUCUUCCAAGGUUCAUGCAUAUUUCUUCUUUUUUUUCAUCAGUUACUUUUUUUUAGAUACAUUUUAUUCUCUGUUUUGUGACUACGGGACAGAGGUUCAGGGCCGAAGGGGUAGAGGAAGACCUAGGAAAACUUUGGAAGAGACCCUAAGAAAAGACUUGAGUACUUGGAUCUAACGGAGGACAUGACACAAAACCGAGCGCAAUGGCGUUCUAGGAUUCAUAUAGCCGACCCCACUUAGUGGGAAAAGGCUUUGUUGUUGUUGUUGUUGUUGUUGUACAUUUUAUUCUCUGUUUUAAAUUAUUGUAUUCAAGGUUCACUUUGUUAUAUUGACUCUGAAAUUCGAACACAAGUUUCUAAAAUAUAAUAUUCUUUUGAACUUUCCAUAUUUCUGAGUAUGCACCGCAUUGAUUAAGGUUUUUUAAAUUCAAGGCCACGAUGUUUGCAUGCCCACAAUCAUGUGAAUUGAGGCUGAAACUGAUAUAAAGUUUGAUAAGAGCAUUUCAACCAUUUAAAUUAGUUUUCUAAUCACAUUAGUUACUUUGUCAAAAGAAAAGAAAAAAGAGCAUCUCUUUCAUCAAUCAUACUUGACAUGCAUCUUAGUGUACAUACAGUUCUCAGUUUUCUGUCUUCCUUUAUUCUUUUAAUUUUUGUGUGUGUAUGUAUUUAACUAUGCAUACACACAGAUCUUGGAUAAAGCAAAGUUCUAGAUGUUUUUUAAUUCUAAUAAACUGAUUAGAAGAAUAAACGUUCAACUUGACUAAGUCUGUUGAUAUUAUCGUAUUAGUGGGAAUUAUAUGGUUGGAAAUAUUGUGUAUAUUUUUAUGCAUAGGCUUGAUAAAAUAAAUCCCGCACUUUUUGCUGCGAUCAAUUUUUCGUUUUUUGAUUUGGUGAAUUCUUGCAUUGUUUUCCAAUGAAGAGGAUUCGAGCAUUAAUAUUGUCAGUAAUGGUGAGACUACUGGUUUUCCAGUCACCCCACAUAAUGAGCAGCUGAGUUGUGCAUCUCCAAGCAAGAAAAGGCUGGAUGCUAUUAGUGAUUCUGCCAAAGAAUCAAAACAAAGUGGUAGGUAUUUACAUUUCCAUGUAUAGGAUUUUGUGGAUUUUAUGAAAUAUAUUGUUUGUUCUUCUCUGAGCGUUGAGUUUUAUAUAUCAACCUCCUUACUUUUAUUUUUCUUCAACAUUCAUGUGCAUCAUUUAGAGGUCGCACUUGGUGUGAUGGCAAGUGCCUUCGCCCAUGAGCGGUAGGUCUCGGGUUUGAGACUUGGGAGCAGCCUCUCCAUAAAUGGGGGUAAGGCUAGCCGACAUUCACCUCUCCCAGACCCUGCAUAAAGCGGGAGCCUUGUGCACUGGGUACGACCUUUAUUCAUGUGCAUCAUUUGACUAUUUGGACUUUGGACUAAAUUGUUGAAGCUGAUUUUGUCAUGGAUACCAUGUGCAGUUUUUAUUAUGGAUACUCACACAUUCGAGAUGUAUACCAGCUCAUUGAACAAGAGGACAUCUAGCAGUCCAAAGAAGCUCUCUCGGUGCAGCAUACACUUUCCUCAAUCAAAUUUUGACAAGGAGGAUCCAGUGAACAAUGGAAUUGGUGAUGAUCCAAAGAGUUAAACUGGUUUAAUUCUACUGAAAAUUGUGUGUUGAUGAUUGCUUCAGUCAAAUUCGAUAUUUUCGGUAGACUAGAGAUGGCUGCUAGAAAAUGUAUGACUGUUCUCUAAUCUAAAAUACACUUCUCAGAUUGCUGUGGUUACUGGUUUGAAUUUUCCUUAUUUACCUUGGUGCCUUUUAACUUUUGAGGUGAAAUUUGUUACGCGACUUCAUUACUUGCAAAAUUUUGUUGAGUCAACAUUCAAUGCCCUUCCUUCGAAUCAAGUUAAAGGUAGGAUCGUACUCGGAGAAGUUUGUGAGGGGCCAAUGGGACAAGGAUUGCAAAAAUACAAGGCUUGCCUCUCAGUGCGUUUCAGACUUACCCUCCUAAAUUUUCUUCCAAAUCACAAUUUAUAUGAUUAAUUUACUGAUUCUUUUUUCGGGAUUUGAGUUUUUGUCUCCUGAUUAUUUUUUGCAGAGAUUGUAUUAAUUUCCCUUUGACUGGAAAUUUGGGGUUUCUUUAGGUAUAAUGUUAUCAAAUUUUAUUUUUCCAAUUUUCUGAUUUUGGAGUUUUGCAGGGAGUGAUAUAUACUAAUUUUUUGGGAUUGUUGGUCUUUGCAGGGUUUUCGCUCGCCAGACAAUGAUAGGUGAAUCACGGCAAGCAACAACAAUUAUGCUGCAAACUGAAUCCAAGAUGACUAACCUGGAGUCUUCAUGGUGGUCGCACCUCUCCUCAUCUUUGCUCCUCCUCCGAAACCCCUCUGUAGGUUUCCGAACUUAAAUUGUAUUUGCUCUCUCUUUCUGCCCUUUAGAAGGGUUUCGGAAAAAUAAUUUUUUUUUUUUUUUACUAUAAUUUUGGUUUUGAUGAUAAAAUUUGGAUUUGCCCAUUUGGGGAUUUUCAAGUUCAGGACCUAGGAAACAAGUAGCAAUGCAGAGGCACUGUUGGAGAGAUUGUGGACCUCUGUUAAAUCACAGUCUAGUGAAGGGAUUAGCCCGUCUAACUUUGUGUUUUAGAUGAAUCCGUUUCGGAUAAGGGAAAAUUCAAACCCAUAAAAAGUUGGGUUUCCUGGUGAGUUGUCCGGCAGAUUUCAGGUGGCUAAUUUCGUGAUUACAAUUAAUUUUGCCUCAUGACAUUGUGGUAUGCUAUCGAAUCUAAUUGGCGAUUUUUUUGUAUGGUUUUUGUGUGGAUGCAGGUCACCAAUGAACAGGUUGAUCACAUCUUGAGUUUUUUGAUUGAUUUAUUCAAUUCUAUCAGUUUUUAUUCUGACCCUCCAUAACAUUUGCAGCACCAUUUGCCUUGCUCCCAUCACAGCUUGGCUUUCAGUUCCUCAGGUAAAGUUUCCACCUUUUUUUCUUCAGGAAAAUAACAAAGAUUCCAAAUUUAUUGAACUAUUUAGUGAUUUUCUGUUGAGUUUCUUCUUAAAAUUUUUAAUUAAAAUUUUUUGAAUUGAAAUGGGGGGAAUGGUGGAUGUGAGAGUCUCUUUUACAACAAUUCAAAGGGAAGAGCUUGAGAGACAGUGGACUCUUCCCCUAUUCCUCCACAUUCCCUUUUACCAAUUUCCAAGAACACAUUAAAUUCCCUCAAAAUAUAAACCGAGGUCUGGAAAAGCUUUGAAUUCCUUGGUUUCCUCCAAUUAGUAUGCAGAACUCUCAAAAAAUAAAGAAGUGAGGGUUGAAUGUCUACCCUCAUAUAUACACAGAGAGAUAUGGAAAAAAUUAGAAUGGUGAAGUGAGGGUUCAAUGACUUAUUUGGUUCUAUUUAAAUAAAGUUCGCUGAUUAGGUUGAUUUGUGUUGUGUACAUACACUUCUUGGCUUUAUUUCUGUUUGAUGGACUUAUUUGUUUCUGUAUCGGUUGCUGACAGAAUGGAUAGGGUGCCAGAAAGAAAGUUUUUGAUAGAAUUAGAGUUUGAUCUCUUCAUUUGGGUUGUGCAUAUUUCGUUUGAUCUCUUACUUGGGUGUAGAUUUCGUUUGAAUUAAUUUGGGUUGCCAUUCGUAAUUCUUUGUUUUUCACUCAAACAUUAUUUAUGAAAAUUGAAGCUAUAAAAUAUUUCAUAUGAUUUUCAAUCCCGUAGCAUCGCACGGGUACAAAUUUCUAGCAACAUCUUAGGAAGGCUGCAAACAAAAAGAAAAAAUCGAAUAUUUAUCCAAAAUGAGUAUGAAACGUUCCAAAAUAUUCCGGUUUUUUAUAUUUAUUUACAAAAAUUAUGUUUUGCAGUCAAGUUUUGUAUUUUAAUGUUAAUUUGGAAUGCACUUUCUUUAUUUUUUUUUAUGUUAAUCAUACACUUAUAUAUUAAAAAAUCAAGCAUAUAUGACAAAAUAAACUGGAUUUAUAUAUAAGCAUAUACAGUAUACCAAAUAUUGGGAAAUAACAAUAAAUUUGUAAGCACGAAAGUGUUCAAGAAUAUCUAAAAACUUGUAAAAGAAAUGAAUUUCUAAAUCAUGUUUCAAAAUUUCUGAGAUUACUACGAAUUGAAAUAUUUUUAAACUUUCGAAUUUAAAAAUUGUGAUCCGAUCUGAUUUAAUUCUACAAUUUAAAAAAAAAUGAAAACGUUGUGUUUCCAAUUCGUCUAUCUGACAAUCAUCUCCAACUGAUUGUACCGGAUCAAAUUGCCCAAUAACACAGUCAAUUAACUUUCCAGAGGGAAACUGAAAUACCUCUGCGAGUCUUCCCAACCCUCAGAAUGGUAGACUGCUAUAACGAAAUCACCAACUGAUUCCCUUUUAAAAAAAUUAAAUAAAAUUAUCUUUCUAGGGCUUGGAGCUGAACUCAUCUAUGCGAACUCUCUAUUUUUAAAAUUCGAACGUAAGAUCUUUAAUUUACAAAUGAAGAAGAAUACCACUAGACUGUAGUACUAAGGUCUUGUUAUAAUGCAUUACAUUCUCUAAUGUUCAUUUACCAUAAAUGUAUCGUGUUUGCAUCGUAUGAAAUAAUCCUAAACUUAAUCCCAAUUUAUUAACCACCAAUACCUAUAAUUUAUCAUGCAAAAUCUUAUCGUUUAUUGCGCUGUAUAUUACUAUCACAUCAACUUCUGACUUAGAUGCAUUCAAUCCACGAAAUUCACUUUGAAAUUUGAAGAUUAAUUUGGUACAUGAAAUAAUUUAUCAAACAAAGAUUCAGUAAAAAGUGACUACAAAUACAACCAAAGGGUAAAUAAUGUAUGAGGAUCAAUACAUGCUAAAAUACACCUUGUAUACAGUCAGAGGAAAGAAUCCACUAGACCAUAGUAUGACAUGUAUUUAUUAAAAUCCACAAAAAUUCACUUGACUCAUUCAAUUUCUUCCUACCUGCUACCACUAUUUAUUUUCAUUUCCAAAUUUUCAUGAUGCCAAACGAUCGUAUUAGAAAACCUAAUUGGUCAAUGAUGAAGUUAAAAGGGAGUUGUGGUGAAAGUUGUUGACAAGAAUGGGUUGGUUGUGUUAUUUUUUAUUAUUUAUCGGAAUUUAAAUUUAGAGGCUAAAUGCUCAUAAGUUGAGAAUUAAAUCUUCAAAAUGAGUUAGGUGCCAAUCACAUAAGGCUAAAUUAAAGGGCAAUAUGAAAAACUAAAUGAGAAAAUUGUAGCAAUAAUCUCUCAACUUUAACUUUAAUAGGAGAAAUGAUCCCUCAACUUUAGCCCAAUUGAAACAAUAGCUCCUCAACUUUAACCCAAUUUUAGUAAUGUUCUUCAAAUAUGGCUCAUUUUGACGGAAGUUCUGACAGAGUUGACGAAAAGAACCAUAGUUAUACGUUUUGGUGAGUUAAGGGACAAAUAGUAACAUAUUUUUAAUUGAGAGAGCAUCGCUCCAAUUGGAUUAAAGUUGCGGUACCAUUAUAACUCAAAUGAGAUAAACCAUAGCAGUAAAAGCAAUUUACAUUGUAACAGCAUCGUCGUCAUCCUGUCGAUGUUGAGAUUUUGUUUGAACUGUUUAAUUUGAUAUGCAGAUAAAAGUCUCUUUGAAUUGCAGAUUUGAAUGGCACAAAAUAAUAAGUAGGUGAUUAACUAACUUGUAACUAAUCAAGCUGAUAUGACGGUAAGUACCAGAAAGAAAAAACACGAUGAACCAACUCCGGAGUUGAGCACAAGUUCACAAACACAACAGACUCGUAUUCUAAAUCCCAUUGCAGCUGAGCAAUAUAUAGAAUUAUCCGAAGAUCGCUUAACCGUAGCAAGAGCACUCUCAGGGAACAAUCUCAUUCGUUUUUCUCUGUCCAUUUCUAUCUCUUUCUCUUGUAUUACUUCUAGCUAGAACUGCAUGCGGAAAAUAUGGGAAAGCAUCUCUUGAUGUAUUUAACUAGAAAAGUUGUGAUGCUUCCACAUUCUCAAGUGAUUUAGACCCUUUUGUAGGUACAUCUAAUUCCCGUUCCGUUCGAAGAUCGAAGGGAAGCUAUACGAAACAAAUGGCAAUGGCUUCGUUUCCUCUGAAUGAAUGAGCUUAAUUAAAAACUGAAUAACAAAUGGCGAAGGCUUCCUUAAUUAAUUUGGUCCAAACUUGAAACAAAGAAAGGAAUAACAUCCCUAACUAAAAGAUUAUACGUAAAAUUAAAAACUGAAUAAGCUUAAUUUCAGUAAAUGAAUCCCAAAUACAUAAUAUACCAAAUAGUUUUCAAAUUCGGAGCAGAAAAUACUGGUAGCUAGCGAGCAAAGAAACAACUAAGAGGGAGAGAUCAGGAAUUUUUGUCAAGUACAAGAUGAUGAAUGCGAACGGAACAUAGAGCAUCAACCCAAUGACAAUGCCAAGUUGCCAACGGAGUCCACGAUGAGCAAGUGAGCAAAUCAGUCCACAACAGCUAGAGCUUGAAACUGUUCGUCCGAGAAGGCUGCUUCCAUGACAUGGUGCGGGCCAAUAUCCCCACCAUUCUCCAAGAAGGACCUGACCAAAUUAUUAGACCUGCCACGCAAUAGCGUCACCCCUGGACAAGGCAAAGCGAUUGAAGGCAAUUCCCGGCACCAAAUAUCCCAAAACAGAAUGUGAGGCACCGCAUCAUCCCCAUACCCUUUGUCCUUAAACAUGGUCCUUAUGGCCUCGUACUGAGUCUCCCAGGCCGCGCCAUCAAAAAAAUCAGGGCCCAUGUCGUCGUCGAAGAUAAAGAGCUUCUGGAUCAUCUGAUCUGGCUUCAAAUUCUCAUUGACAGUCACUUGGAGAAUCAAAUCAAACACCUUUUGCAAAUGAACUACCAGGCAGCCAUCCAUUCCCUUCAAAAAAGAUAAUUUGGACCUUAGGCCAUCGUUGCGGGGUACUGAAUACAGAUGAGGAAGACGAAAACAAAAUAACAGAGCGUGGUCGUCCCCGGCAGCAGCAGGAAGAGGAGCGGAACUGAUCAGCUUUCCUUUCCAGGCUGGCUCUUCAUUCAGUUCACUCACAAAAAGUCCCAAACUCGCAAUCAAUUCCCUAGCCCCGCCCAUAAUGUUAGGAAUGUCGGUACUACAAGAUAGAGAAUGCAUAAGGUAAAGUAGAAAAUGGACACCAAGAAUUUAUGUGGUUCGGCAAUUUAUGCCUACGUCCACCAAACAAGGAUCAAUCUUCACUAUAUGAAAAAGAUGAAUACAACAAGAGUAGUCUUACCAAGCCAAAGACAAGGCUUGAUGGAUACAAGAAAGUAUAACACACACUUUCUAUCACUCUAAACUUCACUCACACAAUGUGUAGUGGAACACUCUCACUCUCACUCUUGGAGUGGAACUCUAGCUUUGGACUUGAUCCUUUGCUACUCACUCUUGGUUCUCAAUUGGUUACAUCACACCCAUAUUUAUAGGUGAGGGCUUGGCAUUCUACUAGUUUCUAGUUCCUUCUUCAAACCUCUAGUAUAGAAAAAUCUAGACUAGCCACAUACUUGUAGCUUCUAGAUCUUUCCAUUUGCAACCAAGGAAGCUAGUACUCUCUAGCUUCUUCCAUCAACUUAAUAACAUGCUAGAAUUGUCUAGCAAGCUCCAGCCUCAUCUCUUGCUUACUAGAAUAAUCUAGAACAUUGAUCAUGGGCUGGACCAACAAUCUCCCCCUCCAGUCCAUGAGGGAGGAAUUCCGAUCAUGACUCCAAGUUACCUGGAGUUCAUCCCAGCAGCCUUAAUGCAGAAUUCCAACUUUGAUUUUGUGACUACAUUUGUCAACAUGUCUGAAGAAUUAUUAUCGGUAUGAAUCUUCUUCAGCUGUAGCAACUUGUUCUCGAUAGCGUCUCUAAUCCAGUGAUAACGAAUAUCAAUGUGCUUAGUGCGUGAAUGAUAUGUAGUGUUCUUGCUCAAAUCCAGAGCACUCUGACUAUCACAAUAAACGCCAUAAUCACUUUGCUUCAAACCCAACUCUUGGAGAAACCGCUUCAGCCACAACAACUCCUUGCAUGCUUCUGUAGCGGCUAUGUAUUCAGCCUCGGUUGUGGACAAAGCAAUGCACUUUUGUAACUUGGAUUGCCAAGACACGGCUCCCCCUGCAAAAGUAAACAAGUACCCAGACGUAGAUUUUCUACCAUCCAGGUCACCUCCCAUGUCAGCAUCUGUAAAUCCUUCCAAGAUUGGUUUGGAACCGCCAAAGCACAAGCACAUCUUAGAAGUCCCCUUCAAAUAUCUGAGAAUCCACUUAACAGCUUCCCAGUGGUCCUUCCCUGGAUUAGAGAGAAACCUGCUCACCACACCUACUGCAUGAGCAAUAUCUGGCCGUGUGCACACCAUUGCAUACAUGAUACUUCCUACUGCUGAAGAGUAGGGAACAACUGCCAUUUUCUCCUUUUCUUCAUAUGUUUUUGGACACGACUCUUUGCUCAACUUGAUAUGAUUGGCUAAAGGUGAGCUUACCGAUUUGGCUGCUUUCAUGUUGAACCUUUCAAGCACCCGUUCAACAUACUUUUCUUGUGACAGCCACAACUUUUUGGAUUUUCUGUCACGAAUUAUAUCCAUGCCCAAAAUCUGCUUGGCUGGCCCUAAGUCCUUCAUGUCAAAGGACUUAGAUAACUCUUCUUUGAGCAUUUUAAUCAUAGAGGUAUCUUGUCCGACAAUCAACAUGUCAUCAACAUAAAGCAAUAAGAUGAUGAAUUUACCUCCAGAAAAUUGUUUGAUAUAGACACAAGAGUCAGCAUGAGUUCUCUUGUACCCAUUACUCACCAUGAAUGAGUUGAACUUCUUAUUCCACUGCCUCGGAGCCUGCUUAAGACCAUAUAAGCUUUUCUUGAGCUUGCACACCAAAUUUUCUUUACCUUUGACUUCAAAGCCUUUGGGUUGCUCCAUGUAUAUCUCCUCUUCUAAAUUGCCGUGGAGAAAUGCAGUUUUAACAUCUAACUGCUCGAGCUCAAGAUCCAUACUUGCUGCCAUACCAAGGAUAACUCGAAUGGAAGUCAUCUUCACCACCGGUGAGAAAAAUCUCAUCGAAGUCAACUCCUUUCUUUUGACCAAAACCUUUGACAACCAAACGAGCCUUGUACCUUGUCAUGUUGUCGUCUCUUUUCAAUUUGAACACCCACUUGUUUUUCAAUGCUUUCCUGCCCUUUGGAAGCUCCACCAGCUCAUAGGUAUCAUUCUUUGAUAAGGAAUCCAUCUCCGACUCCAUUGCCUUCAUCCAUUUGUCACUGUCGUUAUGAGCUCUGGCCUCCUCAUAUGUUUCAGGCUCUCCAUAAUUAGUCAACAUGAUAUACUCUGAUGAAGAAUACUUGGUAGACGGUCUUCGACUUCUGAUGGAUCUUCUGACCUGAUCUUCAUUCUCUUGUAGGGCUGGAGGCUCCCCCUGAUUGGGUUCUCCUUGAAUCUGCUCUUCUUGACUAGGCUCCACCUGAUCAGCAAUCUCAUGGUCUGGCACAUCUUGAUCAGGCUCCCCCUGAUCAGCAUUAUCUGGUUCUGCAGGCACUUCAUUGGCAGCUGCUUCAGGGAUGUCAUCGUGACUUUCUUCAUCUGAAGCUAAUGGAUCAACUCCUCUGUCUGCGCCAUCUGGUUGUGCUUCUUUAUCCGAAUCCCCAAUUGUUUGAUCUUCAUAAAAGAUCACGUCUCUACUUCGAAUAAACUUCUUCUGGUAUGGGUCCCAUAAUCUGUAACCAAAAUCUUCAUCGCCAUAACCAAGAAAGAUGCACGGUGUAGCUUUGUAGUCUAACUUCGAUCUCUGCUCUUUGGGCACAUGCACAAAAGCUUUACAGCCAAACACUUUCAGAUGAGAGUAAGACACAUCAUUACCAGCCCAUACUCUCUCUGGAACAUCAAGACCUAAUGGUACUGAUGGAGAUCGGUUGAUCAAAUAGCAGGCUGUCCUUACAGCUUCACCCCAGAACUGCUUAGAUAACUUUGCAGUCCUCAGCAUACACCUGACUUUCUCCAUGAUGGUUCGGUUCAUUCUUUCAGCAACACCAUUAUGUUGUGGAGUUCCAGGAACUGUCUUCUCAUGACGUAUGCCAUGUUUCACACAAUACUCUCUAAACUGGUGAGAUGUGUACUCGCCGCCGUUGUCGCUACGAAGGCACUUAAGAGGUUUCCCAAUUUCCCUCUCCACCAUGGCAUGGAACUCCUGGAAUGUCUGAAACACCUGGUCUUUGGAUUUCAACAAAUACACCCAAACCUUUCGUGAAGCAUCAUCAAUAUAAGUAACAAAAUAUUUAUUUCUUCCGAGUGACUCGACUUCCAUGGGACCAUACACAUCUGAAUAAACAAGAUCUAACAAAUUUCCUUUCCUUGUAGAUGGAAUCGAAAAACUAAUUCUUCUUUGUUUUCCUAAUAAACAGUGCUCACAAGAGUUUAACGACGUACCUUUGGCAAAGGGAAUGUGAGACUUCUUUGCCAAAACCUGUAGGCCUUUCUCGCUCAUGUGACCUAGCCUCUUAUGCCACAAGUCUAGAGAUGAGUCCUCCACAGCAUUCAACUCACCUUUCAAAACCUUGGCAUUUGACCGGUACAACGUACAACAAAGUCGUGCUCUUGCUACCACCAUUAAGCCUUUAGUAAGCUUCAAUUUUCCUUCGCCAAUAUGGUGAUAAUAUCCUUGUCGAUCAAGGGUACCGAUGGAUAUCAAAUUGAGACGUAUAUCAGGAAUAUGUCUCACAUCUUUCAACAUCAAUUGGCAGCCGAGAUUAGUUCUUAGACAUAUAUCACCAAUUCCAAGAAUUUUGGAAUAGCUUUCAUUCCCCAUCUUCACUAUGCCAAAGUCACCUUCUUUGUAUGUACUGAAGAACUCCCGUUUGGACGUAGCAUGGAAGGAAGCUCCAUUGUCAAAGAUCCAUUCAAUGUCUCUGUCAGAGUUGCCCAUAUGCAGACAUUCACCAACAGACAAUAUUUCUGGUACAUCACCACAUAUGACAGCAGUGGUAUUGCCAGUAUCAUCUUUCUUCUGAUUGUUUCCUUCCCUUUGCUCUCUCUUCCAAACUCGACAAUUUUUUCUUCAUAUGGCCUUCUUUGCCACAAUGGUGGCAUGCACCCCUGAACCUUGACUUGGAUCGGCUAGGACUCCUGCCAUGACCUCUAGGCCCUCUACUCUUGCUUCUUCCGCGGUUCUCUCUGUGACAAAUACUUGGCUGCUAUCUGUGCCAGAAGUCUUUCUCCUUGUUUCUUCAUUGAGCAUGCUAUUUUUAACAUUAUCAAGGGUAAGAACACCAUUAGAAGCAGAGUUACUUAUACUCACCACAAAGGUCUCCCAACUGUCUGGCAAGGAUCCAAGUAACAAGAGCGCUUGUAGCUCGUCCUCGAUCGUCAUUUUCAUAGUAGCCAACUGGUUGAUGAUAUUCUGGAAAUUGUUCAAGUGUUCUGCUACACUUAAACCAUCCUUGUACUUCACAUUGAUGAGCUCUUUGAUCAAGAAGGCUUUCUUAGCUGGAGUCUUCUUCUCGAACAAGGACUCAAGCUUUGUCCAAAACUCGCGAGCAUUGGUUUCAUUAGACACAUGGUGAAAAAACACUAUCGUCCACCCAUUGUCUAAUUGUGCCAAUAGCCUUGCGAUUCAUCUUCUUCCACUCGGCAUCGGACAUGCUCUCUGGCUUAGCGGCAUCUCCUUCAAUUGGCUCAUGCAGAUCCUUGCAAUAGAGAAUGUCCUCCAUCCUUGGCUUCCAUGUUACCCAAUUGGAGUUGGUGAGUUUGAUCAUAGUGCCACUUCCUUCCAUCUCGCAGUACGAGCCAACCGGGCUCUGAUACCACUUGUUAGGAAUGUCGGUACUACAAGAUAGAGAAUGCAUAAGGUAAAGUAGAAAAUGGACACCAAGAAUUUAUGUGGUUCGGCAAUUUAUGCCUACGUCCACCAAACAAGGAUCAAUCUUCACUAUAUGAAAAAGAUGAAUACAACAAGAGUAGUCUUACCAAGCCAAAGACAAGGCUUGAUGGAUACAAGAAAGUAUAACACACACUUUCUAUCACUCUAAACUUCACUCACACAAUGUGUAGUGGAACACUCUCACUCUCACUCUUGGAGUGGAACUCUAGCUUUGGACUUGAUCCUUUGCUACUCACUCUUGGUUCUCAAUUGGUUACAUCACACCAUAUUUAUAGGUGAGGGUUUGGCAUUCUACUAGUUUCUAGUUCCUUCUUCAAACCUCUAGUAUAGAAAAAUCUAGACUAGCCACAUACUUGUAGCUUCUAGAUCUUUCCAUUUGCAACCAAGGAAGCUAGUACUCUCUAGCUUCUUCCAUCAACUUAAUAACAUGCUAGAAUUGUCUAGCAAGCUCCAGCCUCAUCUCUUGCUUACUAGAAUAAUCUAGAACAUUGAUCAUGGGCUGGACCAACACAUAAUUCUGUCCAUGUUACAUACAGCGAAGCAGUUUCUGAAUUUGGCACCCUCCUUGUGCUUGCGCAGCAAUGCAUUCCACUGAAGCUCAGCCGCCUCCCCAACAUUCGCAUCUUGCAAAUAUCGUAUGAUAAAAUGUGGAAGCAAAGCAUCGGGCUCUAUGACGCAGCUUAAAUUGCCUUUGCUAGCUGAUGCUGCUGAGGCUUUCACCUGCUCCAAAUAUUUAAUAUCCACACCCCACCGUCUCGGGUUGAACCUGCCCUGACGCUUGUAGUACUUCUGCAAGGGCGCCAAGAACUCCUUCCUCAGCCGCUCCCACUGAUCAUCCUCCUUUGAUGAUUGAUCUGGUUGUUGCGAUUGCGACACCAAAGGGAAGAGCCGCCUGGCAGUGCUUUCACGAAGCGCAAUGGCGCGGAUGGCAUGGGCGUCGGAGGGGAAUGUGGUGAGGAAACAGUCUGCGGCCUCGGAGACGUAGAGAUCAGCAAAAGCAUCAGCAUCAAUAGGACGUAUAACAGAAUCAUGUUCCCGAGAAUCAUCCUCGUCAUGAUCGUCGUCAUCAGUUAAAUAAUCAGAAGGCUUGAGUUCCAGCUUGUUCUGCUGCAUCUUUUGAAUAUCGGACUUGAGCCGCUCCACGAAAAUAUCCAUAGCGCGGUCGUGCAAGGACUUGUAAUGCGGAUCGCGGUCGUAUCUCUGGCGGUGUUUCUCCUCCAUCUCCUCCACCUCAGUCUCCUGCUGGUCCUGCGGAAGGAGAAGGCCGUAGAGAAUCUUGACAAUGGCGUAUAAUCCCCCGAAAGAGUCAAGGUUAUGCGCCAGAGUUCUGGGGUGGUUGCGGUGGAGCCAAGACAUGGCCGCGGACGAGGCUUCGGAUAGAAGUGAUUUGUGGAGAGGUUGAAGAUAAGCUUGAGGGUGGUGAGGGGGUUGUGGGACCAGGCGAGUGGGAGCCGUUGCUCGAGAGAGUUGAUGAGGGCAGUGUCAGUGUGGGAAGUACGGGCGGCAGAUGCUGGUGGUGGUCGCACCUUGAAAAAGAUAUCGAGGCACGGGUCGCUGUAGAAGGAGGAGGAGGAGUAGGAGGAAGCCAUAAUCUGAGGCUUAGCGGCGGCGUUGGCCACCUUGGACGCUAUGAAGCUUGUUGCGAGGUGGAAUUGCGGAGGAGGAGCGACACCAACCACCCUUGUCAGUGAAGGAAAAGAAACAAUGCUGCCUGGUGUUGCUAAUUUCAGAACCCUGGCCAGAUUCUUCAUCUCUAAAUCUCAAAUUCAAAUUAUGUCCCUCUCUGUUGGGUGGCGGUUGGAGUAGGAAUUGUGGAUCUUUAUUUGUUGGAGAAGAAGAUAUGAGGAUAUAAAUUGGGUCCGGGAGUUGUGCGUGUCAUGUAAUUCUCAUGAUUAUUUAUCCUUGUUUUCCAAGUAAUACGAUUAAUAAUCUAUUAGGAUUUAUAAAAAUCACAGUUUUAAUAGAAUUAGGACUGCAACCGUCUUUCACUUUUUAACAAAAAUUACAACAACAAAGCCUUAUUGAUCCUUCUAAAUAAGAAUUUUUUAUUUUAGAAAAAGUAAAUGAUUGUUUGGUUCAGAAGAAUAGUUUUCCUAUUUGUUUGUUUGUAAUUUUCUGUUUCGUUUUACAAAACCAUUUCAUUUACAAAUAACGUUAAGAGAGCGUGUGAUACUUUUUGAUCCCUCACCUCAGCUGGGUUGAUAAAUAUCUUUAGCUCAAUACGUAAUUGAGAUUGUUUGUUCAAUUUAUUGGAGCUGAGCAGUGUGCCAUUCCUAAUUUCUUUGGUUUAGAAUUGUCGCGCAGCUCAUGCUGCAAUGGUUCCACGCUUGUUAAACUAAACGCAUUCAUUAAACCAAUCUAUUUUAUAUUAAUUCAUAUAUAUAUAUAUAUAUAUAUAUAGAAAGCAAAUAACAUAAACGUUUUUACGUGCGUCCACGUUCAUCUAAUUUAAAAUAUUUAAAAUAGCACUCUUACUCAAGCUGCACUUCUUCCUUUCCUUCAGCCCUCUUCUUUCUCUUCUCUGGAGUGACCUAAUGCUGCUUGAGCACUUUGUUCUUGUCAUGCAGCUCAUGCUGCCAUGGUUCCACGCUUGUUAAACUACUUUUAGUUUGAACAAUGUUUUGCGAAACCCAUUCAUUAAACCACUCUAUUUUAUAUUAAUUCAUACACACAUAUAUAUAUAGAAAGUAAAUAACAUAAACGCUUUUACGUGCGUCCACGUUUGCCUAAUUUAUUUAUCUAGGAGGCAAAACGUUUUUAUGUGCAUCCACAUUCGCCUAAUUUAAAAUAUUUAAAAUAGCACUCUUACUUAAUGCUGCCUGCUUCAGCGCUUCUUCCUUCUCUUCUCUGGAGUGACCUAAUGCUCCUUGAGCACUUUUUCCUUUUCUGGAGUAACCUCUAUCCCCACCCUCUUGCCCGCAUCAUGUACUUCCCUUUUGAAAUUGCCAGAGAUCAUCAUUUAUUACAAUUUCCACUUUCCAACCAUGCUCCUCAAAAGAGGCAAGCUCGCAGAGGGCUUAUGCAUCUUGGAAAUCUUCAACAACAACUCUCCUAUGGCUCUGUAGCUCCUCCACGUCUCUUAGAGAAGCUGCCUUCUUCGCAUGGAAGUUUUCUAGCUUUUCAGAGUCAACAUUUUGGUUAUUACUUUCGAGGCUUCUCACCUCUCUCUUCAGGGGAAGGUAAUCAUUUUGUUUGUUUGAUUUCUUUCUAAUAUUCAAAUAAUUAUUGUUGUGUAAUCCUAAUAGCACUGUUGUUGCAGCUCGAAUAGAUAUGUACCAGAGCAUGGGAGAUGCUCUUGCGCAGCAGUAUGGUGGCUCUGCAGCUCACAACACUGUAUGUUCUUAUUUUAUUCUUGGGUUAGAGCAUGUAUAUAUUAUCAGUUGGUAGAUGUCAUAGAUCAACCCCUAUAUUCUAACGUAAAGUAAAAAAAGAAAAAAAAAACUCUAUCUCUAAUCAGAUGUCCACUGAAAAGAAAACAAAUCACAUUACAGACCAAUACAUUUUUGCAGUCUUCUUGACAACAACAACUUAUCUGGGUAUCUUUUGCCAGGGUUCUCGGAGUUGCCAAGCUUAUUAAUGUUGUAUGUUUUCUUACUUUGGAACAUAAAUUUGUGCCUUAAUUAUGUUUUCAUCCUUUCCUUUCUUGCAUUUUCGUACUGUUGGGAACAAUUCUCUAGACUUUCCUUUUUCUACAACAUAAUGCAAUCCCGUAUCAAGUUUCUUAGCCCUAUAAUCUUAUUUGUUUUGCAGUCAAGUUGACAACAACUUUGGUGGGAUUACAAUUCCAGAUUCGUAUAGCAACAUGUCAAAACUGUUCAAGUUGUAAGUGCUGCUUCUGAUUCUAUGUCUUUUAGUAAGUUGUAAGAGCUUUAAAUCUCUAUUUUUUCAUACAUCAGAUUUAAAGCUCCAACUAUGGAGGUGUAAAUCCAAAAGAUUUGUGAUUAAGCAUAGCAACAAUAGAGGGAAUCAUAGUUUUUGUUGUGAAACAAAUUUCCAACCACUGUGCAGGGAACAUCUCACGUUUCUAUCACAUUAGGUGAUGGUGCUGGUUGUUUGGAAUGACAAUCGAGAAGUAGCUCUUAAUAUUUAACACGACGAAUCAUGUCAAGAUUGAAUAUCUUUGUGUUUUUAUUGUUUCUUUCAGGAGUUUGAGGAACUGCAACUUACAAGGGCCUAUUCCUAAUUUUAGUAGGUUUCCAAACCUUGGUUAUGCAUAGGUUCAAGUUUAACUGUGUAAUAAAUGGAGAGAUUAAUCGCCGUCACUCAUAGCUGCGUUUCAGGAAACAAGUUUAUCUCUUGCCAAUUUUGUAUACCCACUUUUUGUGUGUAUUAUACAGUAAAAUGACAUUUUUGUCCCUGCUGCGCAAUAGAAAUCUCUCCGUUUCUUCAGAACCCGCACUCAGCUUUCACCAUCUCUCUACCAUCUCUGCUUUCUUCCAUCUCUGCUUCGCGCUCUUCAAUCUUUGCUUUGUCAUCUCUUCCUCCGUGAUUUCUUCACCAGCAACUUUGCUCAAGAUCUUUCCAAUUGAAAAAACCCAGAUCAUCAUCAUCUAUUCCUCAUCACCACAGGUACCUUCUACACCUAUUACAUGUCAAAAUCUGCUUCGUGUUCUCUUCAUGUUUUAGUUCCUUUUCACUGCUUUUGGUUGAUUUUUAUUCCCAUUUCUUUUCGAUCUCUUCUUUCGUAGCCGUCUGCUCUCUCUUCUUUCUUCGCCUCUGUUGGUCUCAAAGUGGAUAGUUUUGCGGUGAGUUGUUCUAAUCUUGCAUCUACAACUUUUUUAUGCAACUGUAUGGAUUGUGUUCUGUUCAAUUUUAGAUGUUAGAAGCUUUUAAUUUCUUAGGUUCAAUUUUAAAUGGGUUGUUGCUUUCGGAGUUUUCGUUUAAUGACAGAGAUGGGGUUUUUUGGGGAGAAACUUUUAAUAUUUUCCCCCCUUUUUAGCAGCAGACUUCAAAUCUUUGUCCAUUCCCAUUUUAUCGAAAAAGCAGUUCAUAAAGUUUCAAUUUUUAUCAGAGAAAAGAGAGAGAGAUGAGAGAAAUCAUAAGCAUUCAUAUUGAGCAUGCUGGAAUUCAUGUGGGCAAUUCAUGCUGGGAGCUCUACUGCCUCGAGCAUGGAAUUCAACCUGAUGGGCAGGUGCCCAGGUAGGUUUUUGUAUAUCUCCAUCGAUAUUUCUAUUUAUAUAUGCACUUUUUUGGGGUUUUUUAUUUAUUUUGGUGGGUGUUUUUCUCAAAUGGUAGUGUAGAUCAAUGUGUUCUGACUUUAUCAUUAUUGGUUAUUAAAGGGUUUCUUGGAAAUUUGGAAUAGUUGCUUUUAAUAUAUUGGUGUUUGAGAUCUUUUGUAUGAAUUUCAGAUAUCUGAUUGUUGUUAUCUAUUUAUUUGGGGGGUGUAUAUCUGUUGAUUAUAUAAGUAUUUUGUUGGAGUUUUUGAUAUUUUUGAGUGGACUGUCAUAGGGUUCAGAAAUAUUUUCAACUCAAGAAUGGAUUUUCUGAAAGGAGUUGAUGGUGAAACUAAAAGUUACCAUAAAAGAAAUAGCAUUGAUUUUGCUUGAAUCUGACUGAUCGGAUGCAUUUGCUUUCUUUGCAAGGUUGUUGAAAUUGAUACGUCCCAAGUCUGGUGAGAUUAGAGAUAGUAUCAAGGAACUGAAUAUGAUGCAACACAUCCAUUGCAGGUAACUGAAGCUGAUAUUGAACAUUGUCGAUUCAUCGGAACCUAUAUUCUUCUGCGUUUCCUCAAAAUCCAAGGUACGGACUUCACCCAGCCGUAAGUUAUUGGGAUUUUUUUAUUUUAGUUUUGGAUUAGUAAUUUUUUGCUCGGUAGCUGAGAAAAUGUGAUCCCUUGUUUUAGGUUUGGUGUUUUUGUGAUUUUGGGUUCGUAGGUUUUUCAGAUUUUGGGAGUUUGUUUGUAGGCUGCAAAAUCCUCUGUUCUCAAGGUAAGUAAUUUAAAAUUCUGGGAUUAUUCAAUUGAAAGUUUAGAGGUCGCACUUGGUGCGAUGGCAAGUGCCUUCGCCCAUGAGCGGUAGGUCUCGGGUUCGAGACUUGGGAGUAGCCUCUCCAUAAAUGGGGGUAAGGCUAGCCGACAUUCACCUCUCCCAGACCCUGCGUAAAGCGGGAGCCUUAUGCACUGGGUACGACCUUUUCAAUUGAAAGUUUCAAUUUAUAGUUUAGUUUAGUUUAGUUAUUUUAUAAUUAUACAAUAAUUUUAAUUAACUCCGCCUAUGUCUUACAUGGCCGGUCCCAAGCCCGGAUAAAGGAGGAGGGGGAGGGCGUCAGGUAGUCGACAACCGGCACUCCAUGAUCACGUCGAAUCCUUAUGAAAAUGAAUCCAGAACAAAAUCGCGCUAAAGCUAGGGCGUCACCCGUAAGUGGCGCGCUGUGUGGCCUGAGCACAGUGAUAAGUGAGCAAGGGUCGCUGUAUCUCCAUCGGCACCCGGAUGCAGUGUUAAAUGAGCAAGGGGGCCAUAGAAACUUCUUUUCGAACGACUCCACUCAAAGUUGUUUGGGAGCAUAUGCUCCUAUCAACUUUACCCGGGACACACAAAAGAAGUACUUUGAUCCUAUUAGACGGGGGAGGUGAAGAAGCUAGGACAGAAGGGUAGAGUUCAAGAGAGCAAAAUGCGUUUAGGAACGUGGAAUAUAGGAACCUUAACGGGAAAAUCUAUGGAAGUAGUGGAAGUUAUGGUGAGGAGAAGGAUAAAUAUUAUGUGCCUACAAGAAACUAAGUGGGUUGGUAGUAAGGCAAAGGAUCUAGAAAACUCAGGGUUUAAACUUUGGUAUUCGGGCACAAAUAGAACGAGAAACGGUGUUGGCAUCAUCGUGGACAAGACCUUGGUACAAGAUGUUGUAGAUGUCAAGAGGGUAGGAGAUAGAAUCAUGGCAAUCAAGAUUGUAAUAGGACAAGAACUUAUCAAUGUGAUUAGUGCGUACGCACCUCAAGUAGGGUUGGAUACGAGUUCGAAGGAGAAAUUUUGGGAAGAUCUUGGAGACUUGGUGCAAGGAAUUGCUCAGACGGAGAAGUUAUUUAUAGGAGGAGAUUUAAAUGGACACGUGGGCAGGGAGACAGGCAACUAUGGAGGUUUUCAUGGUGGCCAUGGUUUUGGGGAGAGAAACGAGGAUGGGGAAGCUAUCUUGGAUUUUGCAAUGGCAUAUGAUCUCUUCUUAGCCAACACCUUCUUUAAGAAGAGAGAAGAACAUGUGAUCACCUACAAGAGUGGGUCGUCAAAAAACACAAAUAGAUUUUCUUCUAAUGAGGAAAGGGGAUCGUAUAACUUGUAAGGAUUGCAAAGUUAUACCAGGAGAGAGCGUGGCUAAUCAACAUCGCUUGUUGGUGAUGGAUGUACAUAUCAAAAGAGUAAGACAAAAGAACAAGACUUGGAAGUGCCCAAGGACUAGAUGGUGGAAUCUAAAAGAAGAAAAAACAAGCCAUUUUCAAAGAGAAGGUAAUCACCCAAUGUGUGUGGGAUAGAGAGGGGGAAGCUAGCCAAAUGUGGGAUUCCAUGGCUAGUUGUAUCCGAAAAGUAGCAAAAGAGGUAUUAGGAGAGUCCAAGGGCUUUGCCCCACACCAAAAGGAAUCUUGGUGGUGGAAUGAGGAGGUACAAACAAAGGUGAAGGCUAAGAAGGAAUGUUGUAAAGCCUUAUACAAGGAGAGGACCGAUGAAAAUGGUGAAAGGUAUAGAAAAGCGAAGCAAGAGGCGAAGAAAGCUGUCAGAGAAGCUAAGUUAGCGGCUUACGACGAUAUGUAUAAACGACUAGAUACCAAAGAAGGAGAGUUGGAUAUCUAUAAACUAUCUAGAGCAAGGGAAAAGAAGAAGACAAGGGACCUAAACCAAGUGAGGUGCAUCAAGGAUGAGGAUGGAAAGGUUCUUGCUACAGAGAACGCGGUUAAAGACAGAUGGAGAGGUUAUUUUUCAUAAUCUUUUCAAUGAAGGACAUGAAAUGAGUGCUUCUUUAGGGGAGUUGAGUAACUCAGAAGAGUGUAGAAACUACUCUUUUUAUCGUCGAAUCCGGAAGGAAGAAGUGGUUGUAGCUUUGAAGAAGAUGAAGCAUAAAAAAGCAAUAGGCCCAGACGAUAUACCAAUCGAAGUGUGGAAAGUUUUGGGAGAGACAGGUAUAACAUGGCUCACUGACCUUUUCAAUAGGAUUUUGAAAACGAAGAAGAUGCCAAAUGAGUGGCGAACGAGCACUUUGGUGCCUAUCUACAAGAAUAAGGGCGACGUACAAAAUUGCAUGAACUAUAGGGGUAUUAAGCUAAUGAGUCAUACAAUGAAGCUCUGGGAGAGAGUCAUUGAGCAUAGAUUGAGGCAAGAGAGACACGGGUUUCGGACAACCAAUUCGGGUUCAUGCCAGGGCGCUCAACCAUGAGGCAAUCUAUCUCUUACGAAGAUUGAUGGAAAGAUAUAGAGAUGGGAAAAAGGAUUUACACAUGGUCUUUAUAGAUUUGGAAAAAGCGUAUGAUAGGGUCCCAAGAGACAUUCUUUGGAGGAUUUUAGAGAAGAAAGGAGUACGAGUAGCAUAUAUCCAAGCUAUAAAGGAUAUGUAUGAAGGAGCAAAGACUGCCGUAAGAACUCAUGAAGGACAAACCGAAAGCUUUCCCAUAACUGUAGGAUUACAUCAAGGCUCAUCCUUAAGUCCUUACCUUUUUGCGUUGGUAAUGGAUGAGUUAACAGGACAUAUUCAAGAUGAUAUUCCUUGGUGUAUGCUUUUCGCAGACGAUAUAGUGUUGAUAGAUGAAACUCAGGAAGGGGUAAAUGCAAAGCUUAACCUUUGGAGAGAAGUGUUGGAAUCUAAAGGUCUUCGCCUAAGCCGAUCAAAGACAGAAUAUAUGGAGUGCAAGUUCAGUGCAAAUGGAGGCCAAAACGAGUUAGGGGUGAGGAUCGGAGAUCAAGAAAUACCAAAGAGCGACCGUUUUCGUUACCUAGGAUCUAUCUUGCAAAAGAACGGAGAAUUAGAUGGAGAUCUCAACCAUAGAAUACAAGCUGGAUGGAUGAAGUGGAAGAGUGCAUCCGGCGUGUUGUGUGACCGCCGUAUGCCACUGAAGCUCAAGGGAAAAUUUUAUAGGACGGCAAUAAGGCCGGCGAUGCUGUAUGGCACAGAAUGUUGGGCGGUGAAACAUCAACACGUACACAAAAUGGGUGUAGCGGAGAUGAGGAUGCUUCGUUGGAUGUGUGGGCACACGAGAAAGGAUAAGAUUAGGAAUGAGGAUAUCCGGGGUAAAGUAGGAGUAGCCGAAAUUGAAGGAAAGAUGAGAGAAAAUCGGUUACGGUGGUUUGGACAUGUGCAAAGAAGGCCUACUGACGCUCCGAUUAGAAGAUGCGACUAUGGGACAGAGGUUCAGGGCCGAAGGGGUAGAGGAAGACCUAGGAAAACUUUGGAAGAGACUCUAAGAAAAGACUUAGAGUACUUGGAUCUAACGAAGGACAUGACACAGGAUCGAGCACAAUGGCGUUCUAAGAUUCAUAUAGCCGAUCCCACUCAGUGACUUGGAUUUUCCAAGUCUCCAACCGAGAAGUUUUCCUCACUCGGGAAAUUAAGGGAACACUACCCCAACCUACAUGCUCCACUCAGAAAGCUUCAACAUACAAGCUUCAACAAAAGAAAAUUCAAAGAACUUAGCGAAGAAGGCUUUGGUGUAUUUAACACAAUACGUUGAAAUGAAGGAAAGCUUAUUUAUUGAUAUCCCCGAUAAGCUACAAAUAUGUACAUAUACAUGAGUCAAAAUAAACACACAAGAGGGAGCCUUCACAAAGGUUGCUUAGGAGAAGUCUCAGCAGUCGGUAGAGCCCCAGAAAGAGAAGGCACCGGAGGGGGAUCAUUUGGAGCCUCAGUACUGGACAGAACCCUAGAAGGAGGAGGCAUCAGAGGUUGAUCAUUUGGAGCUUCAUUACGCGGUACAGCCCCAGAAGACGAAGGCAAUAAAUGCCUUUGGAACAAACCCACAAAUCUCUGAUGAUCAAGUAAAACCUGACCAUCAGUUUCCUUCAUCUGGUCAAGCUUCCUCUUCAUGUUUGUAGCAUAGUCAUGUGCGAGCCGGUGCAACUGUUUAUUCUCAUGCUUGAGCCCUCUAAUCUCCUGUUUGAGACUCAUCACUUCAGCCGCCAAUGAUUCAACUUGGCGGGUUCGAGCAAAUAGGCGUUGGGCCAUAUUAGACACAGAACCUGCACACUGAACACUGAGAGCCAGCGAAUCCUUAACAGCUAACUCAUCAGACCGUUUGGAAAGUAGUCUGUUAUCUUUGGGAGUGAGAAGGUUCCUGGCCACCACCGCAGCGGUCAUAUCAUUCUUCAUCACGGAAUCCCCAACGGUAAGAGGACCAGUAGGGGAGACGAAGGAUGGGCGCCAUAUGUUGUCUGGAGAAGGCGGGGCUGCCUCUUCAACAAGGUUCAAGUCAAAACGACGGUCGGAGGGGCCAGACAUUUUCAAAGGUGUUGAAGAGAGAAGAGGUCGGACAAAUCAAGAUCUUAGAAGUGCAAGAAUGAAGCUUCUACUGGUGGAGAUUCAAGUGUGCUUUAGAACUUAAUGCCAGCCCCUAUAAAAAUCUGCACUCGACGGAGCUUCAGAAAUCGAAGAGGCGUUUGCUUUCUCAAAAGCUGGGCUGCUUAGAGAUCACGAGGGUUGAUCUCAGAAAUCGAAGAGGCUUUUUGCUUUCUCAAAAGUUGGGCUGCUCAAAGACCACGAAGGCCGAUCUCAGAAAUCGAAGAGGCGCUCGCUUUCUCAAAAGCUGGGCUCCCCAGAGACCACGAGGGCCGAUCUCAGAAAUCGAAGAGGCACCUAUUUUUCCAGCCUUGUCAGCACCUGUCACACGCACACUCAGCUUUGCGGAAAUUAUGGGCAUUCUGUCGAAGACUUCUGGGGAAGUAGAAAACACAUGAAUCUUACUGUUCAAUCACCCACUUCCCACACGCAACAAUAGCUCAUGGGUACCACAGAUAACUUUGCCAAAGUUCUCUGCCAAAGUUGAGCACGUGAAGCUUGCAGCUCCCACUACAUCGCUCUGACCAAGAAGGGUAAAAGAAUAGCAAAGAAACAGCACUAACAAAGUUUAGACCCAUAAAUUUUGAAGGUCUAGCUACCAUAUUAUUACCCACAAGGGUAAAGGAACAGUACCACUGCUGGAUAAUUGGAAAGUCCCUGUGUGUCAACCUCUGUGCUUCGUGGCAAGGUAGACUAGCAAACAUGCCCAACCUUUACUCACAUUCGAGAAAACACUCCCAACAAGAUUGCUUGCUCCAAAAUCGAAGAGGCACCGCCCUUCCGAAUCUCGAGAGCCAGACUCCCAACAUGAUUACUUUCUCAAAAAAUCGAAGAGACACUGCUCCCCCGAAUCUUCGAGAGCCAAACCCCCAGCAUGAUUGUUUUCUCAAAAAUCGAUGAGGCAUCGUUCUCCGAAUCAAUCGAAGAGGCGCUCGCUUUCUCAAAAGCUGGGCUGCUCAGAGACCACGAGGGCCGAUCUCAGAAAUCGAAGAGGCACCUACUUUUCUAGCCUUGUCAGCACCUGUCACACGCACACUCAGCUUUGCAGAAAUUAUGGGCAUUCUGUCGAAGAUUUCUAGUGAAGUAGAAAGCACAUGAAUCUUACUAUUCAAUUACCCACUUCCCACACGCAACAAUAGCUCAUGGGUACCAUAGAUAACUUUGUCAAAGUUCUCUGCCAAAGUUGAGCACGUGAAGCUUGCAGCUCCCACUACAUCGCUCUGACCAAGAAAGGUAAAAGAAUAGCAAAGAAACAGCACUAACAAAGUUUAGACACAUAAAUUUUGAAGGUCUAGCUACCAUAAUAUUACCCACAAGGGUAAAGGAACAGUACCACUGCUGGAUAAUUGGAAAGUCCCUGUGUGUCAACCUCUGUGCUUCGUGGCAAGGUAGACUAGCAAACAUGCCCAACCUUUACUCACAUUCGAGAAAACACUCCCAACAAGAUUGCUUGCUCCAAAAUCGAAGAGGCACCGUCCUCCGAAUCUCGAGAGCCAGACUCCCAACAUGACUACUUUCUCAAAAUCGAAGAGAGGGUAAAGGAACAGUACCAUUGCUGGAUAAUUGGAAAGUCCCUAUGUGUCAACCUUUGUGCUUCGUGGCAAGGUAGACUAGCAAACAUGCCCAACCUUUACUCAAAUUCGAGACAACACUCCCAACAAGAUUGCUUGCUCCAAAAUUGAAGAGGCACCGCCCUCCGAAUCUCGAGAGCCAGACUCCCAACAUGAUUACUUACUCAAAAAUCGAAGAGACACUGCUCUCCGAAUCUCGAGAGCCAGACCCCCAGCAUGAUUGCUUUCUCAAAAAUCGAAGAGGCAUCGUUCUCCGAAUCUCGAGAGCCAGAUACCACAGACCACUUUUUCAAAGUGCUCUGACAGAGUUAAAACAUGUGAAACUGACAGCUCCCACUACCGUGCUAUGACCAAGCAGGGUAAAGGAAUAGCAUUACUACUUGUUGUUAGGGAGACUCCUAUAUAUGUCAACCUCCAUCCCCAACGGACAGGCAGACCUGCAAAAAUGCUCAACCCUUCAUCAUAUCUGAGAGGGCACUCCCAACGAAGCCUUUCGAAAUAUUCAGCUUUCUUUCCCCCCGAUAAUACCUCUGCAAACAAGCUAUACUAGAGCAAGAAUAUCUCAUAUCAUCAGGGUUAAAAGCAAGAGUAUCCCAUAUCAUGCUUUUUCCCUAUCUUUUCCUUUGGCCUUGUUUUUACCUGCAAGACAAGGAGAAAGAGAGCAAUCAGUCAGCACUUGGAAUCAAGCUUCCAGCCAGGAACUGACUGCCUGGAACCCCUUACCUGAUUACUUACCUGGCAUUGCUCUCGAG